AAUAUCCACUACUUCCGCAAUACAAAGCAAGUCUUCUUUCCAGAGCUCUUCUCUCUAGAUACUUUCUCUCUCUACGAUCCGGGUAAGGCGAGCGAGUGAGCGUUCGACGGUGCAAGGCUUGGCUUAGGCGCUUUGGCGAUCCAUUCCGAUCCAAGAGUGCCCGAGUCGCCGCGCGGUCACGAUCCCAAUCGAUCGGCCCGUGACACAUGCAUGUCGCACGAGCAUCCAAAAGCAUCUAUUCUGGGUUUAUGCAUGAGGACAUGAACUUGACAGUCAAUAAUGUCUGAGGACAUGAACUUGACAGUCAAUAAUGUCUUUAUGCACGCGUUGGAGAAUUCCGACAGAGAGUAAUUGUAGAUGACUGGGAAAUAUUCCAAGCAUGCACGUCAUACGACCAUUCAAAAGCAUCUAUUCUAGAUUUAUGCGAGAGGACAUGCACUUGACAGUCAAUAAUGUCUUUAUGCACGCGUUGGAGAAUUCCGACAGAGAGUAAUUGUAGAUGACUGGGAAAUAUUCCAAGCAUGCACGUCACACGACCAUUCAAAAGCAUCUAUUCUAGGUUUAUGCGAGAGGACAUGCACUUGACAGUCAAUAAUGUCUUUAUGCACGCGUUGGAGAAUUCCGACAGAGAGUAAUUGCAGAUGACUGGGAAAUAUUCCAAGCAUGCACGUCGUACGAGCAUCCAAAAGCAUCUAUUCUGGGUUUAUGCAUGAUGCCAUGAACUUGACAAUCAAUAAUGUCUUUAUGCACGCGUUGGAGAAUUCCGACAGAGAGUAAUUGCAGAUGACUGGGAAAUAUUCCAAGCAUGCACGUCGUACGAGCAUCCAAAAGCAUCUAUUCUGGGUUUAUGCAUGAUGCCAUGAACUUGACAAUCAAUAAUGUCUUUAUGCACGCGUUGGAGAAUUCCAACACGCACCCCAUUUGGUUUUUUCUCCGGUCAACCGGUUUCUGGUGAAACAAUGGUGGAGAUAGGUAAGCUACUAAUUAUCCAAACCCGGUCCUUGAUCAAUCAAAAAUCGGAUUAUAAUAAACCAUCUAGUGAUGUCAGUGUAAUAUAUAUCAACCAUUCUACUUCACUUUGAAACAUGUUUCGUAUAAACUCAUAAUGUUGAUAACAUAUGUGAAGGAUAAGAACUAGUCAUUAAGACAUACAAUUCAUUAUCGUGGCUUUUUUCACAAGUAAAGAUUCUGUUAACGAGGAUCUUUAAGACAUUUAAUGAAAAUGGGAUCGUGAUUCUCAAACCUUUAUUAAUUUUUUCGCAAUACUCAUAAUAAGUUUACUGGAAACUAAAAUUUGUUCCUUUAUUAAGUAUGGCUCAAUUAAUAUCUGAGGAUUUUUGCGACAAGAACUUUUAUGAAGUCAAAGGUGAAGGCACGCGUUGUUUGAAUGUGACUUAGUAGAGAGGGACUAUCCUUGAUUUACUUUCUAUUCAGUACUAUGGGGACCACGUUCUUUGGUGCUUACUGGUCACCCUGUCUACUAUUUGUUGGCGAGCCUUUUCCAAUUGAGGUAGACUUAUAUCAGGAGAAUGUACGGAAUUAGACUUCGCAUGAGAGAGUUUGAAGAGACACCCCUCCAGUUGGGACCAUAACCAUAGCAACGUGAGCUACCAAAACAUGCGAUAACGUAGAAAGUGACUUUGAAAAGAAGAUUAGCGUCACCGGAUUUGAUUACUAUGAUUACCGAAGAUAAUUUAAAUGGCGUUAAAAAAAAUUAAAAGGCGAAAAAAGUGGAGAAGUGAGUCAACAAGUUUAGGAAAAAUACGAUGGCCAAAUAAAGAGGAAAAAAAAUGGAAAGAACUCAAUUCAAUGUGGGAAAAUUUACCUUGAUCAUAAUCUUAAUAGAGGAUCAUUCUUGGAUCUGAAAUUGACCUGCUUAAGGUGGAUAUCUUCGUUGCAAAUGAAAAGGAAAGAGGCGAUAUGUCGUGGAAAUUUCAACACCAACACCAACCGCACAUCUUUCGAAAAGUCCGGUGGGAUCAUUAUCAUAAGAAAGUGACACUCGAGAGACUUAUAUGGAUAUAUGUUUUCAGUCCACCCUCAAAUUAAUUCCCAAAAUUGAAGUUGCCAAGCUCGGUUUCGUUGUAGUCUGACUGCGAGAGCACGAGGAAACUCUCUCAUGAUUGAGUUGGGUCAACGGUGACCUAGAACUACGGGCAUGUCUUUGUCCUUUGGUUGGUGGAAGACCAAGACGCAAUGCAUAAUCACAAGGACAUGUUAGCAUAGACCUGCCCAGAUUUUGAUAUAUCAAUCCAAAGAUAUUAAGCAAUUAAGACGCAUUUAAUUUAAAAAAAUUUAGAAAACAUUUUUCUAAAGAUAAUAGCCUAUAGCACUUAAAAAAUUAAUGAACUGGAAAAUGUUUUUAUUUUUUUAUGAAAAUAUUUAAAUACAAAUUGCUGUCGACAAUUAAAAUAUUUUUCAUUAACUAAUUAUUUGAAGCAGUAUCAGUGAUUAUUUUUUGAAAAAAUAUAUUGUAAAUUAUUCAUUUUUUGCUAAAUAAAUGCAACUUUUACACAAAAGUACGAAAUCAGGCUUCACACGAUAGAGCUUUGAAGAGAAACUUCUCUAUUUGGGACUACAACCAUAGCAAUGUGAGCUACCAAAACGAGCAACGACGUAGAAAGUGACAUCCAAAACCAAAAGAUAAUUAGUUUCACCCGAUUUGGUUACUAAAUUACUAUGAUGGACGAAGAUAAUCUAAAUGGAAGGCUAAAAAAGUGAAGAAGUGAGUCAAAGUUUAAGAAAACUACAAUGGCCAUUCAAGAGGAAAAUGGAGAAAACUCAAUUCAAAGUGGAAAAUUUAGCUUGGUUCAUAAGCGAAGGAGAGUAUCGUUCUUGAGUCUAAUAUUUACCUAUCUAACUUGGAUAACUUUGUCGCAAAGAGAAUAAAAAGGCAAUCUAUUGGAGGAAAUUCAAUCCAAACACCAACCGCAUCUCUUUCGAAAGGUUGGUGGGAUCUAUGUUAGAAAAAAAAUGACACUACAGAGAGUCAAAUGGAUAUAUGUUCUCAGUCCACUCUCAAAAUAGCUUCCAUGAUUGGUUUUCUCAAAGUGCGAGUUGAGUCAUGAACGCAAUGAAAAAUGCUUUUAUCGGUUUCUCUUCUUGCAAAACACACAGAAGAAUGAGAGAUCUGGGAAGAAAGUUACUAAAUUUAGGCAAUAUGCUGCUUCUUUACACUGGGUGUUUCAACCAGAUCACUUCACAAAAUAUAGAGAUUGCGCACGGAGAUUUUAUUUAAUUUUUAAACAUGAAAGAGGGAUCUUCCAUACAAUAAGUUCUUACAUGUUAAUUCGAACAACAUCGAUAGCGAUUUCAUUCCUAAUAGACAAUGAUAAACAAGAGUCCUCCCAAGAAUUCAACCCUCGAGGUACAAAGCGUGUCUAAUAACACUCAUACAGUUUGAUGUCCAUUUUGAGGCGAAAAUACUUGGCUCCUUGAAAAGUAUCGGUCUCGAAGGUUGUGAUGCCUCUCGCCAUGAAGAAAUCUCCGGUUCCACCCACGAUGGAAAGAUCUCUAGUUUGAGCCGCCAUUAUAUCUGCACCCAUUAUGUUCAAAGUUCCCUUAUGUUCUGUCGAAUUGAACACCAAAGUGUAGGCGAACCAUGCGUUGUAGGCACUCUUCAUGUCGUAGAAAUAGAAGCCUUGAGCUCUAGCGACCGCUGGGGAGAGAUAAUUUUUAUCUUUCGUCAUCGGGUCGUCGAAUACGAACAACUUCCCAAAGUUGAAGUUGCCAAGCCCCGUCUCGUUAGCGACCGCUGCAGACGUUGAGUUGGCCACGUCGUUGCCACCAAAGAGUAUGUCAUGGAAGUAGAGGACAAACCUCUUGCAUGGUUGGUCCCUGUUGAGGGUUUUCUUGGUAGCCGAUGAGAACUGGCUUGUGAAGAGGAGGAGGAGGAGGAGGACAAGGAAGCAUGAUUUGUGUGCGACCAAGUUUCUCAUGGUUAACUAUGCGUAGUUGCUAGCAAUUGGCUAAUGCUUGUGAAUAAUAGACGGGGUUGCACUUCUCCUUAUAUAGGAAUUCUUUGGACCCACAUUUCAUUGUAGGGACAUACUUUUUUCUUUUCUUUUUUUGUUUACUUCGUUAUACUUUUUUCUUGAAAUAAUUUGUCAAUUUCAGAUAUUAUAUAACCAUUAUCUGUCUCCUAAUGGAUCUAUUCUGACUGCCAAAGGACAUGGUAGCUCUCUCUUGAUUGGUGGGAUAUGGUAUAUUUGCUAUAGGAAGAGGCAUUCCGGGGAAUCUGGGUCAAUGUUGCUUAGCACUAGAAGCUUGUCUUUAUCCCUUUUCGGUGUUAGGCUAAGAGGCAAUGCAUGUUUUCAUGGACAUAUUGGCAUGACCCUGCCAAGAUUUUGGUAUAUCAACAGAAAGAUACCAAUCAAUUAGGCUGAGGCGAAGAUGAGUGAAGGCCAGGCUUUGUUGUGAUCCUUCUUAAAUGUUAUGGGGAGGAACAAUUUAGAGGUAAUGCCAAAAGAGAAUCAGUGAUCCUCAAUCAAUACGGAUUCUCCCAAAUCCUUACAUCGAGUAACUUUGAAAAUUUCUUUAAGAUUCAAUUAAUUCUAGGGAAUUCUAUCUUGUGAGGAAGUUGCCUCUAGCCUAUUGAAGCCGGCUAAGAGCCAAGUGAAGUAUAGGAGGUACCUCACUUUUACGCAAUCAAAGACGUAGGGUCGGGAAUUUGAUUACACUAAUAAUCUAAUUAGUGCCAUUUUAGACCCUAAACUUGAUUAUUUGUCAACUAAAAUGUCCAUGUAAUCUUUUUACCAAAUUAUGAAUUCUAAAAUUUUCAUUCACUAAGUGUCCAUGCAAUGUGUUUGGUUUUUAUUAUGAUCCUAAAAAUGUAACCUAACCAUUCAGCUUAAAAAAGCAAAUUGCACUGCAAAAGCAAUAUAAAAGAAUCACAACCAAUUCAUCGAAAUAGUAAUAAAAGAACGAUUAAAAGAUAGAGUGCACUAAAGUAAUCUAAUACGAGUAAGUAAAAAAAUUGUUAUUAAACCCUAGGAUAGCAGUUCUCAUGAGCUAAGUUCAAAUUGAAUCAAAUUUCUCAUCACUCUAUUAAAACUAAGCUCCAUCGAAGGUUAUCACUAAAAUGUCUAAACAAUAUUUACUAAUUAAAAUGAAUAUACUAGAAUCUAACAACCUAAUUUUGCCAUACUUCUAAGGUAUAUUUCUAUACUUUUUUUUUUAUAAAAAAAAAAAUGAAGACUUGGGCCGAGCCCUUCGGUCCAUUAUGAAUAUGAAUCACUUAUGCCUCAUUUGUCUCAGCUUAGAACACGAUGGGCUCCCUCAAAGUAAAACUAAAAGAAGCUCAAAACCAAUGAAGACCUAAUUUGUCGAAACUAAAUUCCGUUUGUUUUGCGAAAAUGAAAGAUUUGCAAAUUAUUUUCUAAAAAAAUGAUAGCUUAGAUCACUUGAAAUAAUUUGUUCCUAAAAUAUAUUUUCGUUAUAAAAAAUAGUAUGAUAAAAAGAUUUUUUGUUCAUUUAUUUUCAUAAACAGUACCAACGAUUACUUUUUAGAAAAAUAUUUUUGAACCUUUUACUCUUGUCACUAUCGGAACUAGAAGCAUAAAGGGCAUAUUGCCCUUUAUCUUUCUUCAAUUUCUCUUUCUCUACCACCAUCCUUGAAAUUAGGUCAUUAAUUGACAAAGUCUCAUCUUGGGAACUGUAAUUGAUCUCGAUAAUACCAAAAUUAAGAGGAAAAGUAUUUAAAACUUGAUGCACAAUGUAAGCGAUAGGAAUAAUAAUAUUAAGAGCCUGAAGUUUUAUUUGCAAAUCUAACAUCAUGAACUAAUAUAUUUCAACCUUCGUGAAUUCAUCACUUUUGAGUGUCCACCACAUUGUCAUGCAUUAAUUCAUGAACUAAUAUACAAUCACCUCAUAUGAGAGUAUGACCAUCCAUUAGAACAUGAGACAUCCCAUCAUUAUACAAGAUCAAUAUUUCUUAAACCCAAUUAAGUGUUCUACUUUGAUGGUCACAACUCUAUUGAAUCCUUGAAAUUCUCUUAUAUCGGGGAUAUAAAUUUUAUUACUCACAUAUACCAUAUUCAUGUGAUUUUAACUCUAGUGAUGAUAGAAAUUACCCACUAAAAUAACAUAUCAUGCUAGUUACAUUACUUCCCAAUAUCUAUGUGAUGGCAUACCUGUAAAUCAACACAUGUAUAUCCAAAAUCACAGAAAAAUACAAGAAAAUACAUGAAAAUAAACUAAGAAUACACAUAUUUAGGGUUACGUUUAUAUUUUCACAUCCAUAAAAUCAUCAAAAUUGUCAAAUAAACACACCACAAGGUAAGCAUCACCAUAUGAGCAUGUAAUUGCUGACCACGAGCCAAUUGGAGGCUCCACAAGCUUGCAUGCGUCACCUGAGUGCAUGGUGUGUGAAGCACACACACGAACGGCCUUAAAGCCUUGUCAUCCAGUGUGACCGAUCAUCGGUUUGACCAUAUGGUCCGACUAGUUGACCGUUUCGAUCAAUGGUAACUUGGUUCGAGUGGGUCAAUGGGUUGAGUCACCGGAUCGGGUUGAGUAUCGCGGGUGGUUAGGCUACUGAUGUCACAAUGAUGUUAGCCCUAGCGCGUGUAGUGCACGCACAAGUUGUGUUGGCGCGUGAGCACAUGUGAAGGCGUGUGGAGGGUCGUGGGGUGUGUGUUCGGCGCCCCAACAGUGUAUUUCCCUAAAUGGGGGCUUGUACAGCCUCCCCUGGCGGCGAACCACUCAUGGUUUUACUUGUCUCGUCGAGUUCUUUAUGUUUAUAUAAUAAAAGUUGAUUUUUGCUACACAAAAAAUCAUGAAAAAUGGCAAGAACUAUAUGUCCAUGUUCUAAUCUAUGGAGGCUCUGAUUUUAAAUGUUAAACGCUAAAAUGCACAAUUCCAUGGUCUCCAUAACUAGACUAAGAACACAUAUAAUCGAGUAGAAAUAUUAACAUACCUGUUUUAGAAUCCAUUGUUUUUUAUGCGAAAGCGGAAAAAUGAUGAUUCAAGCGCAAGUUCUUCUUUAUUGCCCUCUAUAUUACUGACUUAAUGAGACGGCCCCCUCACCCUUUAACGCUAGGAGAAUGCUCCUUUGUGGGGACUAUUGUGAUAAUUAGGAUUAUAAAAGAGAUUUGAAUACUAUUUAUAGAAUUUUCAACUAGGCCCUCUCAUUACGAGUUAGGCUCAGUUUGGCCCACAUUAGCCAACACCAUAUUAGACUAAUUAAGAAACCUUCCAUCUCGCUUUAGACCAAAUCUGUAAAACGGUAAAUUAUAAUAUCAAUUAAUAUAACCCACAUUAAGAAACUCUUACAAUUCUUUGUCUGGAUUCAGUUGUCUUGGUUGCUUUUUUUUUCUGUUUUUGCUAGAUCAGUUGUCUUGGUUGUCGUUUUUGUAGGAGUUGGAGUAAUCUUGAUACAAGACCAUCAUUUUAAUAGUCAUUCUUUGUCUUUUCUGUAUAGAUUUUUUGUGUGGAUUUAGCUGUCUUGAUUGUUGUUCACACAAGAGUUGGGAGUAAUCUCGAUGCAGGACUAUCAUUUUUGUAGUCAAUCUUUGUUUGUUAUGUACAGAUUCCUUGUGUGGAUUCAGCUGCACGUAAUACGGCACUAGUGAAGAGGCCAAUCAAUGAGGACAAUGGCUGCAAGAAUAAGGUAGACAACAUCUGGAGAGGCCAAGACUAAAGAGUUCAGUAAUGGCCUUGAGUGCCCAAUGAAGUGAAGCGAAAGAGAAGGGAUAGGGUUACAUUUGGUACUUAGGAUAAAAGUUGAGAUAAGAUAAAAUUAUCGUAUCCCAUAUUUAGUUUCUACUCAAGAUAAGAGAUGGUUAGAUUUAAGGAGAUAUAAUCUGAAUAAAAAUAUCCCAUAGAUGAGGUGGAAUAAAGAUGGAUAUGACUUCUUAUAUUCAUUACAUAAAAUUUAUUUUUCUAAAAUAACAAAUUUCUUAAAAAAAAUGAAAUAAUAAUUAAAUAUAAAAUAAUAUUUGCAUUUACUAUAAAAAAGAAAAUUCAAAAUAAAAUAAAAGAACAAUUUUCGUUUAUAUUUAUUUAUUCAUAUUAUUUAAUAAAUUUUUAUUAUGGAAUGAUGGAAAGGAAUAAAAAAGGAAAAUCAAUUAAAAAGUAGGUAAUAUAAAAAUAAAGUAGAAGAACCUCGAUUUUAAAUAAACCAAUUCUAAGUUGAAACAAAUUGUUCUAAUAUACUUUGUCUCCUUCUUCUUCAUAUUUUUGGUGUAUGUUGAGGCUCCACGGCUCCUUCAUAGUUCUUUGUUCAAAUCAAAACUCCAACAAAAUGAUGAGAAAGGUGAAGCUCCUCCUUUGUAGCUCUCUGAUUAAUGUCAAAGUCCACAAAUGUAGCUAAUUUUCCAUAACUUUGUGGUUCGUGUUAAAGUUUUAUGAAAAUGACGAGAGAAUUAAAGCACUAUAAAUUUUAGAAUCACGAAGGUAAAUGAUCAUGUUUUCUCUCUUUUUUACUAGAUUUGAUGUUCUUUGGCUCAUUUGCUAUAGUCUGUGUACAUUUCUUAUCAUUGUCAAACCCGUGGCUUUGGAAUGCUGCAAUGAGCUCUUUUUCUAUUUAAGAUGUUGGUCAUACAAUAAUUAUAAAUUAAUUGAUGGAGGUUAUCUCCAUUUGUGCAUUUGCGAUUUCUUUAGCAAUAAAUUUUCAGAAAUUCUUAUUAUCUCGUUUGUGUACUUUUAGGUUUAUUUACUUCGAUAUGCUGUUCACAUCGAACAAUAGAUAUGAUAUGAUUUGAAAAUAUCUAAUUUUAUUAUUGUGAUUUACCAAACAAAGGAUAUGAAACAGUAAAAUCCUAGAAUUUUAUAUUAGAAAUCUAGAUGAUCAAAUGCAACUUCAAGAUUUUCAUUUGUUGCGACUUUUCUCAAGGUGAACUAUCAAAAGGAAUAACGGAUUACUAAGCCAAAGACUUAGCACCAUUUGUCCUAAGUCCUUACCAAUUGCAACUUUGGGUUUUAUUUAAUCAAUGUAACAUGUAAUUCAAUCCAAUUGGAAUCCGCCACUAAUCUAUUAGGAUGCAUUUGGUCAUCCUAAUUUGGAUUGAGAAAAGAUAGGAUAAAAAGGAUUUGAAAUCCUUCAAAUAUCCUUGCAUUAUAAAUAUAUUCCGUUGUAUAUUUGGUGCAAUACAAGAUAGAAUUUGAGAUCUUUGAAAAUUUGCAACUUAAAAUAGGAUUAAACUUUUUUGAAAAUCCUUCUCGCUAGAAAAUCUUCGAAAUGUUCGACGGGCUCCUCCUGUACGUGAGACUCGUACCCUCCUGACCAUUGUCGUUAGCAAGCAACAGUCUCGAACUUGGCUUGUGAACGGUGGGAGGUACUUCCUCUGGUUCUUGUUAUCGGACCCCAUCGCCGAAGAAUGCGAUGGUGCCAUCUCUUAGGAGUUGAGGGAGGCGAUAGUGGAGAAGAGGUGCCUCGUGGGGUGGGCUCGCCGGAGGAGGUUUUGCACCACAGUGCCGUGCACAACUGGCUUGAGAGCGUAGCCGCCAGGAAGACGAAGGUCACUAGGAAGCCGAUGGUGUGGUGGCCGUUUUUUGCUUAUGAAUAGUUGGCUCGUGAGUCGCUUGAAAGGUCGUGGCAAGACGAUCGUCUUUAAACUCAUUUUCAACCUCACUCGUUGGAACUCAAUUUCCGGUCGACAGUGAUGAUCGGCGUGGUUGGAGGCGAUGGCGAUCGUGCAGUGGUCGGAAGUGAUGAUGAUCGGCUAGUUUGAUGAUGGUCCUUGCAUGGUGCCGGCGAAGCAACAUCCCAUGCGUCACUCCAUCACUCCGUUGGAGUAAAUGCAGGGAUUUUACGAUGUGAUGGAGUGACGACCAGCGAGGGGAUUUCACGGCAACGACCGGCAAGGAGGGGAGCGUUGGCCUUCUCAAGCGCCGGGAAACCUGCAAAGAAGGGAUCCAACUCGGUAGAGAGCUGGCCCACGGGGGUUCAAGGGCUGAUCGUUACUGCAGGGACUGGUGAGAAGCUCCGAAGUCGCUGAAAUCACUGGAAGACCUGCGAGGGGAAAACUCUAGCGCUGCUAAAGUGCAGGAGGUCGUCUGGUUUUUGAGCUGCGGGAGGCUCGGCCGGGAUUCACUGGUGCAGAGACUGCGGUCUGCUGAACAAACACCGGAGGACCUGUAAGAACACCGGGAGCACGAGAAGCCCGCUGGGAAUCGCUGCAAGAAGCCGCUGGGGUCAAGCAGAGCAGUUUGGGCGUCGGGGAGGUGACGGGCGCACUGUGGGGACUGAAGCAGGGGCUCGGUGGCCGGAGCUCGAUGUCAAUAAGGCGUGACAGCAGUAAGCGGCAACCGCUCCUGUGGGAGAGAGAAAUUCGUCUCCUUUCUGUUGUCUGCGUGCAAGCCUCCAAAAACUCCUCUGCUGUCGAUUUCCCCUGCUGUGUUCUGGACUUGUCUUUUGCUUCUGUUUUAGAUCUUGGAGAUACCUUGAUGGAGUAAAUGGUGGAAAGUGAUUUUGCAGAGCUAAUCCUCCUUCUCACGUUUCUUCUUUAAUUAAUAAUCUUUUGUCGUUUCUUCUUUAAUUAAUAAUCCAACAUCCCCUAGAACCGGACCGCAUUGGCCAAUCCGAUCCGGUCUGGGCCGGUUCCCGGUUUGGGCGGUCCUCUGUGCUUACCCCUAGAAUGUGCCCAUGGAAUGGUCAAUUUCAUGCCCUCAUGUUGACCCGAUUUUUGCUCAGUGAAGAUAUUCAUUAUUUUUGACAUAUAUGGUUAGCCCUUGUUCAAAUCAUAUGUACUAUGAAUACGUAUUUUUCCUUGCGAAUAUUAAGAUGUGCUUAAACCAGAAUCGUUAGUCGUAUAUACUAAGUGUAGUUCUAUUAUAUGGGUCAUCAUGGGGAUGCUAGAAUGGAUUUCCCAUCGAUUAGUCACUUAAUACUUCAACGUCAGUGAGUUAGUUGGAUUGCUGGCGGGCUUCCAUAAUUCCGCUUGUUUUGGCGGCCAUGGCAUGUCGAUGUGCAAAGUUGUUUGUGCAAAGUUGUUGAUUUAGAGUUCUGGAAUUUAUGAGCUUUUAGAUUUAUGCUUCUGAAGAGCACUUGUAAGGAUUGGACAAGAGUACGUAGCAAAAGUGGGGACAAAUUUCUAUACAUAAGGUUUUGAUGUAUAUUAGCCGAGAUCAAAUUAUUUGUCAAAUUGAGAAUAAAUUAGCUAUCUAGUGGAGGAUUGAAGUGAAAUUAAAUUAUAUGCACGUUUGAGGUUUAAAUUUCAUGGAGAAAUUUCAAGCCGUGACAACCUCCCUCGCUUAAGUCCCUUAGCUCCAGUUCAAUGUAAGUAUAUAGGCUUACUUAACUAAUGUUUUUAUUUACGGGUCAUGAUCAAUCUCUAAUUUUUUAAUUAAUGGAUACCUAAUGGGUUGCUAAAAUUUGGGUGUUGACAUCUUAUUGCUUUCUUGAUAUAGCCCUAAUGCCAUUUCAUUUGGGCUUAGAAAUGGCUACUCCUGAUUCCCAUUAAUUUUUAUCAUCUCAGCCUCGUGAGAAGCCUUCGACCAAAAAUCGAAAAGAACCUUGUGAGAAGCCCAAGACGGAAGGGCCCUGGACCUAGAGAGGAAAUAGUACACGCUCACACUAGAAACAAAACAAUUUUAGACACUUAAUAUAUUAUACACGUCUUUGAAAUGAUACGCUCACCAUAAAUAUGUGGAUCUCACGAUAGGUUACCCGAACAUGAGAUCCACCAAAAAUGAUGGCUUUGUUGGGGACCCCACCCUAGAAUUUUCACUGAAUGGUAGGUUGAAUUUGUUGUGAUCAUAGUAAUCAUCUCAUACAUUGUUCUUAUUAGAAGAUAUUUCAUUUCCGACUCAGUGAGGUCUCCAACAUGGCUUGAUUACUGCAUGGUUUCAAAUAAAAAUAAUGUACGAGAUCACAAAAGGAAAGUCAUAUGCACGCAUAACAAGGUGCUGAAUAGCUCGCAAAAGAAGAUGACAUAUAGGGAGAAAGAAGCCAAAAAAAAUGCUCCUCCUUAGAUAGUAGUUAAGGGUCAUUAACAGCUUUAGGAUUAUUUUGGACAAUUGUCCCACAAUUUUACUAGCUUUUAGUAGUGUUAACUGUUAAGUAGUGCUUCUAUUGACCAAAAUCAAUAUGAGGAGAGAGAGAGAGAGAGAGAGAGAGAGAGAGAGAGAGAGAGAGAGAGAGAGAGAGAGAGAGUAAUUGCAGAUGACUGCGAAAUAUCCCAAGCACGCACGUCGCACGAGCAUCCAAAAGCAUCUAUUCUGGGUUUAUGCAUGAGGACAUAAACUCGACGGUCAAUAAUGUCUAUGCACGUGUUGGAGAAUUCCAACACGCACCCCAUUUGGUUUUUUCUCCGGUCAACUGGUUUCUGGUGAAACAGUGGCGGAGUUAGGUUGCCAAGUCAGCCUGUUGCGGAGUUGAAAUUGAAGCCUGAGCGGGUUUGUCAAUAAGCAGUAGGUAAGCUUACAAGGGUGCGUUUGAUAACGUUUCAGUACAAAAAUUGUUCAAGAAAAUAGAAAUAAAAAAAAAAAUUAUUUCUGUUUUAGGGAAUAAUUUUUAAACAGAAGAACGUGUUUGGUAAAUUUGUUCAUAAAGUAGAAAAAGAACAUAAACAUGUUUGGUAAAUUUGUAUAAUUUUUUUGUUUCGUUUAAUUUUUUAAUUUUUUAAUUUAUUUUAUUUUAUUUUCCUUUUUUAUAUUUAUAUUUAUAUUUUAUUUUUCUUCCUUUUGGCCAGUCGCGCGGCCUUGGCCAUGGCCGACGACCUCGCUUUGGUUGGGCGAGCUCGAGCUCGCCCAGUCACCAACGAGGCUCAGCCUCGCCAGGAGUCGGCAACGCUCGGCCUUGCUGGGGGUGGGCGAUGCUCCGGAGAGAGAAAAAUUGUUUCUCGGAAGUAUUUCAGAUUCCAGAAACAAGUUUUUCUUGUUUCUUGUUUCUGUUCCAAAUUUGUUCCUCGGGAACAAAAAAUAGAUUUGGAAUAAAAAUGCAAACAAACGCGUUUCUAUUCUUUUAUUGUUCCUCGGAACAAAAAAAAAAAAACAGAAAUUGUGUUCAUGACCAAAAAAAAAGAACACAAACAAACAAGGCCUAAUUAUCCAAUGCCGGUCCUUGAUCAAUCAAAAAUCAGAUUACAAUAAGCCAUCUAGUGAUGUCGGUGUAAUAUAUAUCAGUCUUUCUACUUCACUUUGAAACAUGUUUCGUAUAAAGUCAUAAUGUUGAUAACAUAUGUGAUAGAUAAGAACCAAUCAUUAAGGCAUACAAUUCAUUAUCGUGACUUUUUUCAUAAGUAAAGAUUAUGUUAACGAGGAUCUUUAAGACACUUAAUCAAAAUAGGAUCGUGAUUCUCAUACCUCUAUUAAUUCUUUCGCAAUACUUAUACUUCGUUUAUUGGAAACUAAAAUUUGUUCCUUUCUUAAGCAUGGCUCAAUUAAUAGUUUGAGGAUUUUUGCGACAAGAACUUUUAUGAAGGCAAAGGUCAAGCCCCGCGUUGUUUGAAUGUGACUUAGUAGGGAGGGACCGUCCUGGAUAUACUUUCUAUUCAGUACUAUGGGAACCACGUUCUUUGGUGCUUACUGGCCGCCCUGUCUACUAUUUCUUGGCGAGCCUUUUCCAAUUGAGGUAGACUUAUAUCACGAGAAUGUACGAAAUUAGACUUCGCACGAGAGAGUUUGAAGAGACACCCCUCCAUUUGGGACCAUAACCUUAGCAACGUGAGCUACCAAAACAUGCGACAACGUAGAAAGUGACUUUGAAAAGAAGAUUAGCGCCACCGGAUGUGAUUACUAUGAUUACUGAAGAUAAUUUAAAUGGCGUUAAAAAAAAUUAAAACGUCAAAAAAGUGGAGGAAAGAGGCGAUGUAUCGUGGAAAUUUCAACACCAACUCCAACCGCACAUCUUUCGAAAAGUCCGGUGGGAUCAUUAUCAGAAGAAAGUGACACUCGAGAGACUUAUAUGGAUAUAUGUUUUCAUUCCACCCUCAAAUUAGAGGUGAUAAAUGGGUGAAUCGGGUCGAGUAAGGGUCAGGUCGAAAAUGGGUCGACCCAUAUUUGACCCAUUUAACCCGUUUUGACCCAUAUUGUUAUAAUGUAAAUCUAGUGACCCAUACCCGACCCUACCCAUAUUGCUAAAACCUAUUAAUAUUCUAGGAAAACCCACUUCUAUUAUAUGCUAAUUGGAUUAAAACUUCAAAUUAAAUUCAAAAUAGUAAAUAAAAUAAAAUAGAAAGUUAAAAAAAACCUAUAAAUUGAAAUAUUUAUAAAGAAUUAGACUAUGCACACACUUCUUUUAUUUAAAGUGAACAUACCAUUAAAUAACUAAAAACUGUAAAAUGAAAAAAAUUUAACUAAACCUAAAAAAGCUCACUUUUAUGAUUUUUUUUUAUAAAAAAAAGUAUUGUUAAAACAUUUUUAUGAAAUACAAAUUUUUAACAAUUUUUAUGCAAUAAAAAUUUAAUAAUUUUUUUUGUAAUUCUUUUUAAAAAAAUUUUAAAAAAAAUCGAAUUUUUAUUUUUUAAAUAUAAUUUUUAUUUUUAAAUAUAAUAAUUAUUUUUUAAUAAUUAUUUUUUCUUUUUUCUUUUUCUUCAGCCGGCCGCGACUAGCCACAGGCAAGAUCGAGCUCGCCAGCAUCGGGUGGGGCUCGAUCUCACCGAAUCGGUGAGGCCAAGGCGUCGCCCGCCGCCAGCGAGCUCGAGUCUUGCUAGUCGCCGGCAUCGGGUGAGGCUCAAUCUUGCCGAUCUGGCGAGGCCAAGCCCCCGCUCGACGCCGGCGAGCUUGAGCCUCGCUAGAUUCGGCGAGUCUCGGCCUCGCCGACGACAAUGAGUCUCGAGCCUCGUUGGAUCUGGUGAGGCUCAAGCUCGCCAGCAUCGGGCGAGGCUCAAGCUUGCAAGAUCGGCCUCGCCGGCUCACUAGUUGUCGGCGCCCUGCCGGCGAGGCUCGGUGCCGGCGAGCUCGAGCCUCGCUUGGCCUAUCGCCGGCCGGCGACCGGCCAUCACCCUGCCGGCGAUCGACUAAGGGAUGAAGAAAAAGGAAGAAAAAAGAAAAGAAAAAAAAUUGAAAUAUAAAAAAUAAUUAUAAUUUCGAUUUUUUAUGAAAAAACAUUUUAUAAAAUUAAAGAAGGCCAUGGCCCAUGGGUUGAAAGUGAGUCUAAAUGGGUUAUUACUAAUAACCCAUUUAGACCUAUUUAUUUUUAUGCUUUAUUUUCUCAAACCCAUUUUUGACCUGUAUUUAACUUUCACUUGACUCAUAUAUGAUCCAUUUAACUAAAAAUGGGUCAUAAUAUGAGUUUAUGACCCAUAUUGCCACCUCUACCUCAAAUUAAUUUCCAUGUAUUCAAUACGUGUUUUAACUAUGACUACACCUUUGACUGAAAAAAAAAAUAUGACCGCACCUUAAACCAUCGGCAUUUAUUUUCAUCAAUGUGCUUUCGUGUCUAUUUAUUUUUAUUUCUUGUCCACUUUCACAAAACUAUAGCAUUUUGAGUGAGGUUAUUGUGGCGUGCUGAGAGUUGUCGAUGGCUUGAAAGAAUUGAAUUUUCAAACAAUGCUCGUCCUUGAAAAGUUUAUUUGAUGUGCCCAUAUUCAUCAAGUUGGAGAUAAAUUGGAUGCUGCCAAAAAUUGGAACUUGCCCUAUCGGGAUCAGCAUUUACUAAGUAGGGGUGAGCGAUUUUCGGAUGGGUAGGUUCUAGAGAAUCUAUCCUGUCAGAAUCAGUUUUCAAUUUUUUAAAUUUGGAACCUACACUAGAGCUAGUCAGCAGGGUCGGUCUAGUCCAGUUCUAGGGUUUAUCCUAGACUGAUGAUCACCCCUAGUUUAAACUAGAUUACUCUUCACACACCACAGAGAUUGCGUGUGGAGAUUUUAUUUCGUCUUAAAAUGUAUCAUCCUUACAAUGGUUUUUUAGAAUCGGAAACAAAGUUUGUAAAUGUUAAUUUGGAGCAUUGUUUGCAUAAUGAUUUGAUUCCUAAUGGACAAUGAUGAAUAGAAGUCGCAAGAAUUUAAUUUUGAGGAACAAAGCUUUUCUAAUAUCAUUCGUACAGUUUGAUGUCCAUUUCGAGGCGAAAGUAUUUGUCUCCUUGAAGAGUAUCUGUCACAAAAAAUCGCGAUUCCUCUUGCCAUGAAGAAAUCUCCAGUUCUGUCCACAAUGGAAGGAUCCCCAGUUUGAGCUGCCUUUAUAUCUACACCCAUUAUGUUCAAAGCGCCCUUGUGAUCCGUUAAAUGGAACACUAAAAUGUAGGCGAACCAAGCGUUGUAGUCACUCUUUAUGUCCUAGAAAUAGAAGCGUUGAGAUUGAGUGCGCCAAAGAGAAGGCAAUUAUCCCUCGUUGUCAAGUCAUGGAACCUGAUCAGCUUCCCAAAAUUGAAGUUGCCAAGCUCGGUUUCAGUGUAGUCUGACUGCGAAAGCACAAGGAAACUCUCUCAUGAUUGAGUUGGGUCAACGGUGACCUAGAACUACGUGUUAGAGAAAUCUUUCUGGAAUAUUUUGAAGCUGACAAAACGUUUUUAUCAGUCUAGUCUGAAGCCUUGCAGACUCUUCUAUUAAAUUCUGAAGACCUCCGGACUACCAGACUCAAGACUCAAAGUCUAUUCUCAUUGACAGUUUCUAAUCCGUUGAAGAAAGGCUAUCCAGAGCUACUUCAUUAAGGAGUUUGGCCUUAUUGACUGGAGAAGAUCUCUUGGCUGGAUAAGACAUAACGGAUUCCUUUAUUCAAAUCAAGAUUGAUUAAAGAUCCGAUGAUUGACGAAGUAUUCCUGGAAGGUUCUACUUAUGGAAACCAAGAUCCUGAUUGUAUGGGCGAGCAUGAUUGAUGGGCUAUCGAUAUGUUCCUUUAAUAGCUCGAAUAAUCUUCUUAAUUGAUUCUGUCUAACGGGAGGAUUGGAAGAAUCCCUUUGGUAAGUGCCAACGGGUAUGAUGGCACAAAUGAGUAUAAAAGGAAGACGUUCCAGUUGUUCGAGGUGAGCACGAUAGAAGAAUUCCAAAGUCUGAAGCUCUUUGAUUCUUAGUCAAUUCAUUUACUGAGCGAAAUCUUGUACACAAAAGAGAGUCUAUACUUUGAGAGACCUUGAGGAAGUGUGAUAGAAUAUCUACACUGUGGAAUCAAGGGAAAGCAGUGCUGUAAUAUCUCUUUUGUUCAUAGUUAAAUUCAGCCAGUAGGCUGUCAGUGCAGAAGAGUGGACGUAGGCUUGGAAUAAGCCGAACCACUAUAAACCUCGUGUUCAAUUUUCUCUUCCUUACUCUCCGCUUUACUUUGAUCAUAGUUCGAUUUGUUAACUAAAGGAGAACUUCAUUUCUGUUGUUAGUCCAGUAUUGCUUUCAUAUCUCAAGAAAUUAUUUUUACACAUAUUCACCCCCCUCUAGGUGCUUAUACUAGCUCUAUCAAUUGGUAUCAGAGCUUGUGUACUCACUUUGUUUGAAGUGUUUUACUUCAGAGUUAAAGAUCCAUGACUAGUAUGCUAGCUCCAGGGCUGGUGGAAGGGCAGAGCAAUACCAGACCACCUUACUUUGAUGGAAAUGAUUACAACAUCUGGAAAAACAAGAUGAAAGCGUUUCUACGAUCAAAGGAUCCUCUAGAAUGGGACGUUGUAGAAAAAAGAAUCACUCCUAAAGCUGCAUCUGUCAUAGAGAGAGGAAAAGAAACUGUUGAGUCAAGUGAAAUGACUCAGGAAGAGAUAAUCAAGAGACAAGCUCUUGAUGCAAAAGCAAUUUAUUCUUUAUAUUGUGCUUUAUCACCUAUUGAAUAUAACAGAAUAUCUUCUUGUGAUACAGCAAAAGAAGUCUGGGAUAGAUUACAUAUCACCUAUGAAGGAACUGAUCGAGUGAAAGAGACCAGAAUCAACAUUCUCCUCGGUCAAUAUGAAGCCUUUAAAAUGAAAUCAGGAGAAUCUAUAACUGACAUGUUUAGUCGUUUUACAGAAAUUGUGAAUGGUAUUCAAAAUCAAGGUCAACCAAUUUCUGAUCCCAUGAAGGUAAACAAGUUACUACGUGGACUCUCCAAGGAUUGGAAUCACAUAAAGACGUCAAUAAGAGAGACACAAAGAAUCAUGCCACUAUCUGUCGAUGAGUUGGUUGGAACUCUUCAGUCUUAUGAAGUAGAAUGAAUCAAUGAAGACGAAGAUCCUAAAGGUAAGAAAUCCAUUGCAUUAAAAUCCAUUGAUGAUUCUGAUGUCACAGAUUCUGAAGACGAUAUGGAUGAUGAGGAGCUUGCUCUCAUGAUAAGAAGAUUCAGAAAGCUGAAUAGAAAAUGAAGAAGAUUCAAUCCAAAGAAAUAGAGCUUUCAAAAGCAACAGAUCAAGUCUGUUGAUGAUGAUGAAUCAAACAAAGAUGUAGUUUGCUUUGAAUGUAAGAAAAUGGGACACAUCAGACCCAACUGUCAUCUUCUGAAAAAGAAGAAAGGAAAAGCUGAAAAGUAUCGAAAGGCUCUUAAAGCAGAAACCUGGAGUGAUACAAAGUGUGAAGAAAGUGAUGAUGAUUAUGCCAAUAUAUGUCUGAUGGCACAAUCGGAUUCAGAUUCAAACUCCGAGACAGACUCAGAUUCAGACAGUGAAUUUGAGGUCACUAUCAAGAAAAAGGUAAAAUGGUAUCUGGAUAGUGAAUGCUCAAGACAUAUGACAGGAGACUCAAAUUGCUUCAUAAAGCUUGUACAAGUAAAUGAUAGAAAAGUCUCAUUUGGAGGAAACAGCAAAGGAAGAAUUGUGGGAUUUGGAACUGUAAAGAUUGGAAACCUUACAAUAAGUAAUGUUUCCCUAGUGGAAUGACUCAACUACAAUAUGCUUAGUAUCAGUCAGCUGUGUGACACUGGUUUCAAAAUAAAUUUUCAAGAGGGAAUAUGUUCAGGAACCAGUAAAGACUCUACUCAGUCAUUCAUGGGCCGAAGACAUGGAAAUAUCUACCUCUUGGAUGUGAAACCAAAUGAAUCGCAAUGUCUAAUCUCAAUUCAAGAUGAAGCAAGCUUAUGGCACAGAAAGCUUGGGCACAUCAAUAUGAAGCAGAUAGCCAAAAUCUCAACAAAGAAGCUUGUUCGUGGUUUACCCAAAUUAUCAUACCAAAAGACUAAUCUAUGUACACCAUGCGUAUUGGGAAAGCAGGUAAGAAAUUCCUUUAAACCAAUAAAUCAAGUUUCCAUUAAUCGUGUACUGCAGCUUCUGCAUAUGGACCUUUUUGGACCUAUCAGAACUCAGAGUAUUGGAGGUAAGAAAUAUUGCCUAGUAAUUGUGGAUGAUUACUCACGAUUUACUUGGGUAUAUUUCCUGGCAAGUAAGUCUGAAACUUUCUCUUACUUUGAAAAGUUUCACCCGAUUUGGUUACUUUUAGAGUUAGCAAAAUGGGUCACAAAACCCAUAUUAUGACCCAUUUUUAGUUAAAUGGGUCAUAUAUGGGUCAAGUGAAAGUUAAAUAUGAGUCGGAAAUGGGUCAAAUGAAAGUUAAAUAUGGGUCAGAAAUGAGUCUGAGAAAGUAAAACACAAAAAGAAAUGGGUCUAAAUGGGUUAUUAGGAAACCCACUUUAAAGUUUAAACUCAUGGCCUUUUUUAACUUUAUAAAAAUAUUUUUUUAUUAUAAAAAUUGAAAUUAUAAUUAUUUUUUAUAUUUCAAUUUUUUUUCUUUCUUUUUCUUCAUUCCUUAGUCGACGGCUGGUAGGGUGACGGCCAGCCGCUAGUCGACGACCGGCUAGGCAAGGCUCGAGCUCACCAGCAAGUCACCGAUGAUUGGCGAGGCUCGAGCCUUGUCAGAUUUGGCUGAACUCGAGCCUCGCCGGAUCUAACGAGACCGAGGCCUUGCCAGAUCGGUGAGAUCAAGCCUCGCCCAACGCUGGCGAGCUCAAGUCUUGCCAGAUCCGGCGAGGCUUGAGCUCACCGGCGUCAGGUGGGGCCUCAGCCUCACCAGAUCAGCGAGAUCGAGCCUCGCUUGAUGCCGGCGAGCUCGAGUCUCUCCAAAUCUGACGAGGCUCGGCCUCACCAGUCAUCGGCGAGGCCCAGCCUUGCCGGAUCUAGCGAGACUCGAGCUUGCCGGCAUUGGGCGAGGCCAAGCCUCGCCGAAUCUGGUGAGACUUGAGCUCGCCGGCAUCGAGUGAGGCCUCGGCCUUGGCGGAUCAGUGAGAUCAAGCCUCGCCCGAUGCUGGAGAGCUCGAUCUCGCUUGUAGCCGGUCGUCGGCCGUUGUCGUGGUCGGCGGCCGGUCAAAGAAGAAGAAAAAAGAAAAGAGAAAAAGAAAAAAUAAUUAUUAAAAAUUAAAAAUUCGAUUUUUUAAAAUAUUUUAAAAAGAAUUAUAAAAAUUCUCCAUUAAAUUUUUAUUGCAUAAAAAUUGUUAAAAAAAAUUGUAUUGCAUACAAAUGUUUUACCAAUACUUUUUUUUUAUAGCAAAAUCAUAAAAAUGAGCUUUUUUAGGUUUAGUUAAAAAAAUUACAUGUUACAGUUUUUAGUUAUUUAAUGGUAUGUUCACUUCAAAUAAGAGAAUCAUGUGCAUAGUCUAAUUUUUUAUUAUAAAUAUUUCAAUUUAUAGGUUUUUUAAAAUUUUUAAUUUAAUUUUAUUUACUAUUUUUAAUUUAAUUUGAAGUUUUAAUCUAAUUAGCAUAUAGUAGAAGUGGGUUUUCCUAGAAUAUUAAUAUGUUUUAGUAAUACAGGUCGGGUCGGGUAUUGGUCGAGUACAGGUCGGGUCGGGUAUGGGUUACUAGAUUUAUACUACAAGAAUAUGGGUCAAAACGGGUUAAAUUGGUCAAAAUAUGGGUCGACUCAUUUUCGACCUGACCCACCCAUUUGCCAUCCCUAGUUACUAUGAUGGACAAAGAUGAUCUAAAUGGAAGGCGAAAAAAGUGAAGAAGUGAGUCAAAGUUUAAGAAAACUACAAUGGCCAUUCAAGAGAAAAAUGGAGAAAAUUCAAAGCGGAAAAUUUAGCCUGGUUCAUAAGCGUAGGAGAGUAUCGUUCUUGAGUGUAAUAUUUACCUAUCUAACUUGGAUAACUUUGUCGCAAAGAGAAGAAAAAGGCAAUCUAUUGGAGGAAAUUCAAUCCAAACACCAACCGCAUCUCUUUCGAAAAGGUUGGGGGGAUCUAUGUUAGAAAAAAAAAUGACACUACAGAGAGUCACAUGGAUAUAUGUUCUCAGUCCACUCUCAAAAUAGCUUCCAUGAUUGGUUUUCUCAAAGUGCGAGUCGCAGUCAUGAACGCAAUGAAAAAUGCUUUAAUCGGUUUCUCUUCUUGCAAAACACACAGAAGAAUGAGAGAUCUGGGAAGAAAGUUACUAAAAUUAGGCAAUAUGCUUCUCCUUUUCACUAGGUGUUUCAACCAGAUCACUUCACAAAAUACAGAGAAUGCGCACGGAGAUUAUAUUUAAUUUUUAAACAAGAAAGACGGAUCUUCCAUACAAUAAGUUCUUAUAUGUAUUCGAACAAAAUCAGAUAGCGAUUUCAUUCCUAAUAGACAACGAUAAACAAAAGUCCUCGCAAGAAUUCAACCCUGGAGGUACAAAGCAUGUCUAAUAACACUCAUACAGUUUGAUGUCCAUUUUGACGCGAAAAUACUUGGCUCCUUGAAAAGUAUCGGUCAUGAAGGUUGCGAUUCCUCUCGCCAUGAAGAAAUCUCCGGUUCCGCCCACGAUGGAAAGAUCCCUAGUUUGAGCCGCCAUUAUAUCUGCACCCAUUAUGUUCAAAGUUCCCUUAAGUUUUGUCGAAUUGAACACCAAAGUGUAGGCGAACCAUGCGUUGUAGUCACUCUUCAUGUCGUAGAAAUAGAAGCCUUGAGCUCUAGCGACCGCUGGGGAGGGAUAAUUUUUAUCUUUCGUCAUCGGGUCGUCGAAUACGAACAACUUCCCAAACUUGAAGUUGCCAAGCCCCGUCUCGUUAGCGACCGCUGCAGACGUUGCGUUGGCCACGUCGUUGCCACCAAAGAGUAUGUCAUGGAAGUAGAGGACAAACCUCUUGCAUGGUUGGUCCCUGUUGAGGGUUUUCUUGGUAGCCGAUGAGAACUGGCUUGUGAAGAGGAGGAGGAGGAGGAGGAGGAGGACAAGGAAGCAUGAUUUGUGUGCGACCAAGUUUCUCAUGGUUAACUAUGCGUAGUUGCCAGCAAUUGGCUAAUGCUUGUGAAUAAUAGACGGGGUUGCACUUCUCCUUAUAUAGGAAUUCUUUGGACCCACAUUUCAUUGUAGGGACAUACUUUUUUCUUUUAUUUUUUUUUGUUUACUACGUUAUACUUUUUUCUUGAAAUUGUUAACACCUAAAUUUUGGUGAUUCAGUCAUUUAUUUAUUGCAUAAAAAAUUAUGGGUUAAUUUUAUCCCUGAAAAAAUAAUUAAUUGCAUAACAUAUAAUUUUAGAUGCAUUUAUUUAUUAUUAUUGCAUUUACAUUGGACCAGUAACGAAUGGGUUCGAAUUGGUGGUUUUGAGUUUUAAAUUAAUAGGCCGGAUUAAGCUCACGAAGCGAGCAAAUUGGCCCAAGCCUUUUUUUUAUAUAAUUAUUUUGUUAGAAAUAAAUAUUUGAUAUGAUAUUACGGUGGAUUUUUGAAAUUUGAGAAAAUCGUAUUGCAAUCUUAUCUUUAGUAAUAGGUGAUAAAAUUAGUGGAGAAUAUUCAAGAGAUGAGGAAAAUAAAAGGAUUUUUGUGAUCGGGAGGUUAUAGGCGAUCUUUGUGUAUAUUAAAAAAGAGAUGUAAUAUUCCAUGAAGAUCACAUUUUCUUUGCCUAUAAAAGGAGCCAUGUCUGGACCUGAGCAGGUCCUUAAACUGCUCCGUCUGGUCGGAAACAGCCCACGGACGUAAAAUGUGGGCAAUGUUAAUCGCGGGGGGACCCUAACCUGUGCAAGGAUCUCCCGGCUCAGAUUCCCGCGAUGCCUUUCUCCUAGCAUACUAGGCUGGGUACAGAAAAAUGAUGAACUGGUACGGUGAGAAAGGGGGGGCCCAAAAAGUCAAAAAAAGUAGCGACGGUGAAAGUACACAGUGCAGUGAGAGAGACGUGAGAAGAGAGUGAAGGAGAUGUGACAAGCUAGCAGAAAAAAAAAAAGAGAAAAAAAGAAAAAAGAGCUGUCAUUUGUCUUAUUCGUGCAUCCCUAUGGCACAGCUGUGUGUAUUGAAAAAGAAAUAAAAUAUUCCACGAAUAUCACAUUUUCUUUGCUUACAAAAGGAGCUACAUUUUCUUUGCCUAUAAAAGGAGCUGUGUACGGUGAGAAAGGGGGGCCCCAAAAAGUCAAAAAAAGCUACACAAUGUAGUGAGAGAGACGUGAGAAGAGAGUGAAGGAGACGUGACAAGCCAACAGAAAAAGAGAGGAAAAAAGAAAGGAGUUGUCGUUCGUCUUAAUAGUAAUGGAAUUACCAUUUACUAAAAAGUAACUAAAAAAAUAAAUAAUGUAUAUAAUUAGCAUCAUAUGAAUUCUGUGUAAGUUGAUGUAUAAUUAUACAUCUACAGAGUUAUAUACAUAAUCACAUAAUCACAUUUAGGUAGAAUACAUGACAUAUAGUUGUACAUUUUCUCACAUGACAACGGCUACGAGAAUAUAUUUCAAUUUUCGUGAAUUCAUCAUUUUUGGGUGUCCACUACAUUGUCAUGUAUUAAUUCAUGAACUAAUAUACAAUCACCUCAUUUGAGAGUAUAUGACCAUCCAUUAGAAUAUGAGACAUUCCAUCAUUAUAUGAGACCGAUAUUUCUCAAACCCAAUUAAGUGUUCCACUUUGACGGUCAUAACUCAAUUGAAUCUUUAAAAUUCUCUUAUAUCGGGGAUAUAAAUUUUAUUACUCACAUACACCAUAUUAAUUUGAUUUUAACUUUAGUGACGAUGAAAAUUACCCACUAAAAUCACAUAUCAUGCUAGUUACAUUACUUUAUUCAUCGAUACAAGUGAAAUUUUAUAUAUAUAUACGAAAUCUGGAUAAAUACCAAUAGCUAAAUAGAGAUGGAAACAAAUAACUCUCGCGGCCCAAAAUAAAAAAAUAAAUAAGAGUUUGGAACAUUAAAUAACUUGUAUCCAUAGAACAUUUGGCGUAACAUAGAUAAUAAAUAAAUAGGAGUUAAUAUCAUUCCAAUUGCCAUUACAAAAGUAAUUAGUAUUUUUGGCAUUAAAAGAUAUUUUAUAUAUAUAUAUAUUAUGUAUGAAUCACAUUCUACACAAUAUCUAUGUGAUGACAUACCUGUAAAUCAACACCUGUAUAUUCAAAAUCACAGAAAAAUACAAGAAAAUACACUAAAAAUAUACGUAUUUAGGGUUUUGUUUGUAUUUUCACAUCAAUAAAAUCAUCAAAAACACAUCAUGAGGUAAGCAUCACCAUAUGAGUAUGUAAUCAUUGACCACGAGCCAAUUGGAGGCUCCACACGCUCGCAUGCGUCACCUGAGUGCGUGGUGUGUGAAGCACACAUGCGGAUGGCCUCAAAGCCUUGUAAUCCAGUGUGACCGAUCACCGGUUCGACCAUACGGUCCGACUGGUUGACCGUUUCGAUCAAUGGUAACCUAGUUUGAGUGGGUCAAUGGGUUAGGUAACUGGAUCGGGUUUAGUCUUGCGGGUGGUCAGGCUAGUGACGUCAAAAUGAUGUUAGCCCUAGCGCAUGUAGUGCACGCACAAGUUGCGUUGGCGCGUGAGUGCACAUGAAGGUGCGUGGAGGGUCGUGGGGUGUGUGUUCGAUGCCCCAACAGCGCAUUGCCUUGCAUGGGGGCUUGUACAGCCUCCCUUGGCGGCGUUGUACCCAUGGUUUUGCUUGUCUCGUUGAGUUCUUUAUGUUUAUCUAAUAAAAGUCGAUUUUUGCUACACAAAAAAAUCAUGAAAAAGGGCAAGAACUAAAUGUCCAUGUUCUAAUCUAUGGAGGCUCUAAUUUUACAUAUUAAAUGCUAAAACGUGCAAUUUCAUGAUCUCCAUAACUAGAACAAUAACACAUAUAAUCGAGUAGAAAAAUUAACGUACCCGUUUUAGAAUCCAUUAUUUUUUUAUGCGAAAGCGGAAAAGUGAUGAUCCAUGCGCAAGUUCUUUUUUAUUGCCCUCUAUAUCACUGACUUAAUGAGAUGCCUCCCUUACCCUUUAACGCUAGGAGAAUGCUCCUUUGUGAGGACAAUUGUGAUAAUUAAGGUUAUAAAAGAGAUUUGAGUACUAUUUAUAAAAUUUUCAGCUAGGCCCUCUCGUUACGAGUCGGGCUCAAUUUGGCCAACAUUAGCCAACAUCAUAUUGGACUAAUUAAGAAACAUUCAAUCUCACUUUAGACCAAACCUGUAAAACGGUAAAUUAUAAUAUCAAUUAAUGUAGGUAACAUUAGGAAACUUUUACAAUUCUUUGUCUUUGUCUGGAUUCAGUUGUCUUGGUUGCUUUUUUUCUUUUUUUGCUAGAUCAGUUGUCUUGGUUGUCGCCCGUGUAGGAGUUGGAGUAAUCUCGAUGUAGGACCGUCAUUUUAAUAGUCAUUCUUUGUCUGUUUUGUACAGAUUUUUUUGUGUGGAUUUAGCUGUCUUGAUUGUUGUUCGCACAAGAGUUGGGAGUAAUCUCGAUGCAGGACUAUCAUUUUUGUAGUCGAUCUUUGUUUGUUUUGUACAGAUUCCUUGUGUGGAUUCAGCUGCACGUAACACGUCAUUAGUGAAGAGGCCAAUCAAUGGGGACGAAGACUGCAAGAAUAAGGUAGACAACAUCUCGAGAGGCCAGGACUAAAGAGUUCAGUAAUGGCCUUGAGUGCCCAAUGAAGUGAAGCGACAGAGAAGGGAUAAGGUUAUAUUUGGUAGUUAGGAUAAAAGUUGAGAUAAGAUAAAAUUAUGGUAUCCCAUACUUAGUUUUUACUCAAGAUAAGAUAUGGUUAGAUUUAAGGAGAUAUAAUCUGAAUAAAAGUAUCCCAUAGAGGAGGUGAAAUAAAGAUGGAUGUGACUUCUUAUGUUCAUUGCAUAAAAUUUAUUUUUCUAAAAUAAAAAAUUUCUUAAAAUAAAAAAAUAAAAAAGAAUAAUUAAAUAUAAAAUAAUAUUUGCAUUUAAUAUAAAAAGAAAAUUCAAAAUAAUAAAAAAUAAAAGGACAAUUUUCGUUUUUAUUUAUUUAUUCAUAUUAUUUAAUAAUUUUUUAUUAUGGAAUGAUGGAAAGGAAUAAAAAAGGAAAAUCAAUUUAAAAGUAGGUAAUAUAAAAAUAAAGUAGAAGAAUCUCGAUUUUAAAUAAACCAAUUCUAAGUUGAAGCAAAUUGUUCUAAUAUACUUUGUCUCCUUCUUCUUCAUAUUUUUGGUGCAUGUUGAGGCUCCACAGCUUCUUCAUAGUUCUUUGUUCACAUCAAAACUCCAACAAAAUGAUGAGAAAGGUGAAGCUCCUCCUUUGUAGCUCUCUGAUUAAUGUCAAAAGUCCACAAAUGCAGCUAAUUUUCCAUAACUUUGUGGUUCCUGUUAAAGUUUUACAAAAAUGAUGAGAGAAUUAAAGCACUAUAAAUUUUGGAAUCACGAAGGUAAAUGAUCAUGUUUUCUCUCUUUUUUACUAGAUUUGAUGUUCUUUGGCUCAUUUGCUAUAGUCUGUGUACAUUUCUUAUCAUUGUCAAACCCGUGGCUUUGGAAUGCUGCAAUGAGCUCUUUUUCUAUUUAAGAUGUUGGUCAUACAAUAAUUAUAAAUUAAUUGAUGGAGGUUAUCUCCAUUUGUGCAUUUGCGAUUUCUUUAGCAAUAAAUUUUCAGAAAUUCUUAUUAUCUCGUUUGUGUACUUUUAGGUUUAUUUACUUCGAUAUGCUGUUCACAUCGAACAAUAGAUAUGAUAUGAUUUGAAAAUAUCUAAUUUUAUUAUUGUGAUUUACCAAACAAAGGAUAUGAAACAGUAAAAUCCUAGAAUUUUAUAUUAGAAAUCUAGAUGAUCAAAUGCAACUUCAAGAUUUUCAUUUGUUGCGACUUUUCUCAAGGUGAACUAUCAAAAGGAAUAACGGAUUACUAAGCCAAAGACUUAGCACCAUUUGUCCUAAGUCCUUACCAAUUGCAACUUUGGGUUUUAUUUAAUCAAUGUAACAUGUAAUUCAAUCCAAUUGGAAUCCGCCACUAAUCUAUUAGGAUGCAUUUGGUCAUCCUAAUUUGGAUUGAGAAAAGAUAGGAUAAAAAGGAUUUGAAAUCCUUCAAAUAUCCUUGCAUUAUAAAUAUAUUCCGUUGUAUAUUUGGUGCAAUACAAGAUAGAAUUUGAGAUCUUUGAAAAUUUGCAACUUAAAAUAGGAUUAAACUUUUUUGAAAAUCCUUCUCGCUAGAAAAUCUUCGAAAUGUUCGACGGGCUCCUCCUGUACGUGAGACUCGUACCCUCCUGACCAUUGUCGUUAGCAAGCAACAGUCUCGAACUUGGCUUGUGAACGGUGGGAGGUACUUCCUCUGGUUCUUGUUAUCGGACCCCAUCGCCGAAGAAUGCGAUGGUGCCAUCUCUUAGGAGUUGAGGGAGGCGAUAGUGGAGAAGAGGUGCCUCGUGGGGUGGGCUCGCCGGAGGAGGUUUUGCACCACAGUGCCGUGCACAACUGGCUUGAGAGCGUAGCCGCCAGGAAGACGAAGGUCACUAGGAAGCCGAUGGUGUGGUGGCCGUUUUUUGCUUAUGAAUAGUUGGCUCGUGAGUCGCUUGAAAGGUCGUGGCAAGACGAUCGUCUUUAAACUCAUUUUCAACCUCACUCGUUGGAACUCAAUUGCCGGCCGACAGUGAUGAUCGGCGUGGUUGGAGGCGAUGGCGAUCGUGCAGUGGUCGGAAGUGAUGAUGAUCGGCUAGUUUGAUGAUGGUCCUUGCAUGGUGCCGGCGAAGCAACAUCCCAUGCGUCACUCCAUCACUCCGUUGGAGUAAAUGCAGGGAUUUUACGAUGUGAUGGAGUGACGACCAGCGAGGGGAUUUCACGGCAACGACCGGCAAGGAGGGGAGCGUGGGCCUUCUCAAGCGCCGGGAAACCUGCAAAGAAGGGAUCCAACUCGGUAGAGAGCUGGCCCACGGGGUUUCAAGGGCCGAUCGUUACUGCAGGGACGGGCGAGAAGCUCCAAAGUCGCUGAAAUCAUUGGAAGACACGCGAGGGGAAAACUCUAGCGCUGCUAAAGUGCAGGAGGCUCGGCCGGGAUUCACCGGUGCAGAGACUGCGGUCUGCUGAACAAACACCGGAGGACCUGUAAGAACACCGGGAGCACGAGAAGCCCGCUGGGAAUCGCUGCAAGAAGCCGCUGUGGUCAGGCAGAGCAGUUUGGGCGUCGGGGAGGUGACGGGCCCACGGUGGGGACUGAAGCAGGGGCUCGGUGGCCGGAGCUCGAUGUCGGCAGGGGGUGACAGCUGUAAGCGGCAACCACGCCUGUGUAAGAGAGAAAUUCGUCUUCCUUCUGUUGUCUGCGGGCAAGCCUCCAAAAAAUCCUCUACCGUCUAUUUCCCCUGCUGUGUUAUGAACUUGUCUUUUGCUUCUGUUUUAGAUCAUGGAGAUACCUUGAUGGAGUAAAUAGUGGAAAGUGAUUUUGCAGAGCAAAUCCUCCUCCUCACGUUUCUUCUUUAAUUAAUGAUCUUUUGUCUUUUCUUCGAUUCUUGCCCUCCUCAAUCCUCCAAUCGUUUACGCUGGACCCAAUUUUGCUGUGAAUGUGCUAAGGUGAUCGGUUCCGAUCCGCUUCCACCCAAAAACUAGUCCGGUUCCUACUUUGAGGAAUUGAGGACUGGUCUGUGAGGUCUUGGGACGGGACCGAACUGGACUGAUUAGUCCAUCGGUUCAUUCUAUAACUUUGAAAAGGAAAAUCCAAAAUUACUAUCUAGGAUAUUUCAUGACAUUGUUAAAUCAAAUUUUACUCAAUAGGACAUAUACAGAGUAAAGAUGAACAUAAAUUUAAAAUGAUGUCCCAUUAAUGCUUAGAUCGUAAAUCAAAAAAUCGAAAGGAAAACCAGAUUUUUAAGAUUUUUAAAAAUAUAUAUAUUUAUUCAAUAUAAUUUAAUUGAUCCAGUUCUCACCUUAGAAUCAGGAAUUAGAUUGGAAAUAACAAUAUGGAGGAAAAAACCACAUUGACAUCCUUUAGAACUGGAUUGCAUUGGCCAAUCCGAUCUAGUCCAGGUCGGUUCUUGAUUUGGGCGUGUCGUGACCUAUUUUUUUUUAGCACCCGAUCGGGGCAAGCGCCUGCGGAGGUUAAUGCUUCGACUAGGUUUAUUAAGCAUAGUCUGGACUUUCCCAAGUCCACCAAUUGAUUUUAAAAUGGAGUCGCCAUUAAUUGGUUUGAUUUUAAAAACAGAGUUGCCGUUAAUUGGUUUGGGGCGAGCCGAUCAAAAACUAAAUGAAGUAUUGAAAAAAAUAAUCACUUCUACAAAACUAAAGAAAUUAGGAUCGAAGAGUUAAUUACAUUAGUUAAUCACUAAUAUACUUACGAUACCUAAUCUUAUUUAAACUUAAGGCUUUUGGGAUUUUGAGGAAUUUUCCAUGCAUUUAUGAAGGAAAAACAUUUUUUGGGUCAUUUUCUCAUUUUUUGGAUUUUUGGUCUUUUUCUGAAAAUAUAAAUCAUUUUUGGCCUUUAAAUUUUUUUUUUUUUUGGUUUUUUAAGAAAAUAAGGGUUUUUUUAUUUUUUUAUUUUCUGGAAAAUAAUUUUUUUUAUUUUUAAAUUAAAAUAUUAUAAUAUAAUUAUAAUAUAUUAAAACGACCCGGGUCGGAUCCCCGGGUUGGGCCCGACCCGGGUCGUGACUUGACGCGACGUUUCCUCCCUUCUUCGCCUAAACGCGGCGCCGAUGGAGGGGCUGGGACGGCCGAUCGGCGUCGACGACGGCGGCGACACAGAGGACAGCAGAGGUAGGAGGAUGCGGCGCGGCGGCAACGCGGGGCUGCUUAGCCAAUCGGGACCUCGGCCGAGGCUAGGGUUUCAAAAAGAAAAAGGGGGAGUGCUCGGCUAAGGCGACUAGGGUUUUAAGGCAGGGGGAGCGACGGCGACGAUGCGACCACCAGCGAUGGCGGCGGCUGUUACCCGUCUGUAGCAACGGCACGACGAGGCGGUGAACGGUGGCGGUGACAGGGGGCUGCAGGUGUGGGUGACGACGACAGGGCAGCGACGGCGGAUCGAUCGCGGCAACAGCUUCGGGGGGGACGGCAGCGAGCCUUCGAGGCGAGAUCAGGUGCAGCGGCGUCGGGGCACGGCCCGGGGCGGCCUCCUUCUCCGGUCUGCUCACUCAGACCCGAACCUCUCCCUCUCCGGCCGACCUCCGUUCAGAUCUGGGCUCGCUCGCUCUUGGACCUCCCCCAAAGUCUCUCGGUGGGAAGCUUUCGGAGCUUGCGUGCCUUCGACCUUCGUCGGUGUCGUCCGUCUGUCCUUGGCCUUCCCUGACGCCCUAUUUAUAGGCGAGGGGAAGGCCGGUCGGCGGAGGUUCGGCCGCCGGUCGGCGUGGUGCGGCCGAACCGGUGUCCCGUCGCUGCUACUCUUCCCCACUUCGUCGUAGGCUGUCCUUGCGCGCGUCGUCGUCGCAACGCGUGGUCUGCAGAAGCGGAGGAGUGAGGAGGAAGGAAGAAGAAGAAGGGUGAAAAAGGAAGAAGAAGGAAGAAGGAAGGGGGAAAAGGGCCGCGUCGCGCGGGCCGAGCAAUGGGGGCCCGCACGAGAGAGAAGGAGGGGCUGGGCUCGUAGGCCCAGCCCCUUUGGCUGUUUCUUUUCUUCUUCUUUUUUUUCUUGUUUUUGUUUGUUUUUCUUGUUGUUUUUCCGUUUUUGUUGUUUUUGUUGUUAUUUGUUAUUUAUUAUCCGAAAAAAGGAAAAUGAAAAGAAAUUAAUGCCUAAUUAAUUAGAAACAUAAUCAAAAUUUAAGUGUUAAUAGGGCGGUCCUCUAUGCUCACCCCUAGAAUGUGCCCAUGGACUGGUCAAUUUCAUGCCCUCAUGUUGACCCAAUUUUUGCUCAGUGAAGAUAUUCAUUAUUUUUGACAUAUAUGGUUAGCCGUUGUUCAAAUCAUAUGUACUAUUAAUACGUAUUUUUCCUUGCGAAUAUUAAGAUGUGUUUGUAUCAGAAUUGUUAGUAAUAUAUACUAAGUGUAGUUCUAUUAUAUGGGUCAUCAUGGGGAUGCUAGAAUGGAUUUCCCAUUGAUUAGUCGCUUAAUACUUCAACAUCGGUGAGUUAGUUGGAUUGCUGGCGGGCUUCCAUAAUUCCGCUUGUUUUGGCAGCCAUGGCAUGUCAAUGUGCGAAGUUGUUUGUGCAAAGUUGUUGAUUUAGUAGUUGAAGAGUUCUGGAAUUUAUGAGCUUUUAGAUUUAUGCUUCUGAAGAGCACUUGUAAGGAUUGGACAAGAGUAUGUAGCAAAAGUGGGGACAAGUUUCUAUAAAUAAGGUUUUGAUGUAUAUUAGCCGAGAUCAAAUUAUUUGUCAAAUUGAGAAUAAAUUAGCUAUCUAGGGGAGGAUUGAAGUGAAAUUAAAUUAUAUGCACGUUUAAGGUUUAAAUUUCAUGGAGAAAUUUCAAGCCGUGACAACCUCCCUCGCUUAAGUCCCUUAGCUCCAGUUCAAUGUAAUUAUAUAGGCUUAAUUAACUAAUGUUUUUAUUUACAGGUCAUGAUCAAUCUCUAAUUUUUUUAAUUAAUGGAUACUUAAUGGGUUGCUAAAAUUUGGGUGUUAACAUCUUAUUGCUUUCUUGAUAACCCUAAUGCCAUUUCAUUUGGGCUUAAAAAUGGCGACUCCUGAUUCCCGUUAAUUUUUAUCAUCUCAGCCUCGUGAGAAGCCUUCGACCAAAAAUCAAAAAGAACCUUGUGAGAAGCCCAAGACGGAAGGGCCCUGGACCAGAGAGGAGAUAGUACACGCUCGCACUAGAAAUAAAGCAAUUUUAGACACUUAAUAUAUUGUACACGUCUUUGAAAUGAUAUGCUCGCCAUAAAUAUGUGGAUCUUAUGAUAGGUUACCCGAACAUGAGAUCCACCAAAAAUGACGGCUUUGUUGAGGACCCCGCCCUAGAAUUUUCACUGAAUGGUAGGUCGAAUUUGUUGUGACCAUGGUAGUCAUCUCAUACAUUGUUCUUAUUAGAAGAUAUUUCAUUUCCGUCUCAGUUAAUGAGGUCUCCAACAUGGCUUAACUAUGAACUAUUUACUACAUGAUUUCGAAUGAAAAUAUGUCCGAGAUCACAAAAGGAAAGUCUUAUGCACGCAUAACAAGGUGCUGAAUAGCUCGCAAAAGAACAUGACAUAUAGCGAGAAAGAAGCAAAAAAAUGCUCCCCCUUAGAUAGUAGUUAUAGGUCAUUAACAGCUUUCGGAUUUUUAUGGACAAUUGUCCUCACAAUUUUACUAGAUUUACUAGUGUUAAUUGUUAUAAGUAGUGCUUCUAUUGCACUUGUUAACAAGACCCGCAUAGGAAAAGAGCUAAAUGGACGGAUGACCAAAAUCAAUAUGGGGAGGGAGGGAGGGAUGACCAAAAUCAAUAGGUAGUUAUGGGUCAUUAACAGCUUUCGGAUUUUUUUGGACAAUUGUCCUCACAAUUUUACUAGAUUUACUAGUGUUAACUGUUAUAUAAGUAGUGCUUCUAUUGCACUUGUUAACAAGACCCGCAUAGGAAAAGAGCUAAAUGGACGGAUGACCAAAAUCAAUAUGGGGAGGGAGGGAGGGAGGGAGGGAUGACCAAAAUCAAUAGAGAGGGAGGGAGGGAGAGAGUUAGAGUCCGAUACGUGUCGGAGUGUGUCGGACACGUCAACACGGUCGGACAUGCGGUCAACGUGUGUCGGAUUUUCCGACAUGUGGUCAAUCUUUGCCCGAGGGAGCAAAGACGAGGCUGCGAGCGAUGGCAAGCCUGGGACGGUGACAGACGGCUAGAGAAAGAGCAUAGACUGAGGCGAGGGUUGCCACUGUGAUGCUGCGAUGGAUCCAACGAGACUACAGCUAUGAGGGAGAAAGGACUGAAGGUGAGAGGAAGAGGAGAGGAAGGCGGUCGUGCGGUGAGGAAGGAGAAGGAUCGAGAGGAGGAGAAGAGGAAGGGUUGUGCGGUGAGCGGCGAGGAAGGAGAAGAAUCGAGAGGAGGAGAAGAGGAAUGGUCGUGUGGCGAGCGGCAAGGAGGAGGAGGUAAAGGAGCUAGGGCUUUUGAUAAGAAACUCAAAAAUAAUUAAAAAAAAGGGGACUAUGAUGAGCCAUCAUGUAUUUUGGGGGGAGGGAAAGUGACAGGGACAACCUAUCUAUCAGUGGUGGGGAGGGAAAGAAAAAUAAAUUUGGGGGUGGGGGUGGGAGGAGGAAGAGAGUGGGGUGGAUCUUAGUGGGGAUUUACACGUGAGGACAUGAACUCGACGGUCAAUAAUGUCUUUAUGCACGUGUUGGAGAAUUCCAACACGCACCCCAUUUGGUUUUUUCUCCGGUCAACCGGUUUCUGGUGAGACAGUGGCGGAGUUAGGUUGCCAAGUCAGUCUGUUGCGGAGUUGAAAUUGAAGCCUGAGCGGGUUUGUCAAUAAGCGGUAGGUAAGCUACUAAUUAUCCAAUGCCGGUCCUUGAUCAAUCAAAAAUCAGAUUACAAUAAGCCAUCUAGUGAUGUCGGUGUAAUAUAUAUCAGUCUUUCUACUUCACUUUGAAACAUGUUUCGUAUAAAGCCAUAAUGUUGAUAACAUAUGUGACAGAUAAGAACCAAUCAUUAAGGCAUACAAUUCAUUAUUGUGACUUUUUUUUCAUAAGUAAAGAUUCUGUUAAUGAGGAUCUUUAAGACACUUAAUCAAAAUAGGAUCGUGAUUCUCAGACCUCUAUUAAUUUUUUCGCAAUACUUAUACUUCGUUUAUUGGAAAGUAAGAUUUGUUCCUUUAUUAAGUAUGGCUCAAUUAAUAUUUUGAGGAUUUUUGCGACAAGAACUUUUAUAAAGGCAAAGGUGAAGCCCCGCGUUGUUAGAGUGUGACUUAGUGGGGAGGGACCAUCCUUGAUAUACUUUCUAUUCAGUACUAUGGGGACCGCGUUCUUUGGUGCUUACUGGCCGCCCUGUCUACUAUUUCUUGGCGAGACUUUUCCAAUUGAGGUAGACUUAUAUCACGAGAAUGUACGAAAUUAGACUUCGCAUGAGAGAGUUUGAAGGGACACCUCUCCAUUUGGGACCAUAACCAUAGCAAUGUGGGCUACCAAAACAUGCGACAACGUAGAAAGUGACUUUGAAAAGAAGAUUAGCGUCAGCGGAUUUGAUUACUAUGAUUACCGAAGAUAAUUUAAAUGGAGUUAAAAAAAAAAUUAAAAGGUGAAAAAAGUGGAGAAGUGGGUCAACGAUGGCCAAAUAAAGAGGAAAAAAAAAUGGAAAGAACUCAAUUCAAAGUGGGAAAAUUUACCCUGAUCAUAAUCUUAAUAGAGGAUCAUUCAACGUGGAAAUCUUCGUUGCAAAAUGAAAAGGAAAGAGGCGAUGUUUCGUGGAAAUUUCAACACCAACACCAACCGCACAUCUUUUGAAAAGUCCAGUGGGAUCAUUAUCAGAAGAAAGUGACACUUGAGAAACUCAUAUGGAUAUGCAUUUUCAGUCCACCCUCAAAUUAAUUUCCAUGUAAUUAAUACGUGUUUUAACUAUAACCGCGCCUAUGACCAAAAAAAAAAAAAAACUAUGACCGCGCCUUAAACCAUCGGCAUUUAUUUUCAUCAAUGCGCUUUUGUGUCUUUUUAUUUUUAUUAUUUGUCCACUUUCACAAAACUGCAGCAUUUUGAGUGAGGUUAUUGUGGCGUGCUGAGAGUUGUCAAUGGCUUGAAAGAAUUGAAUUUUCAAACAAUGCUUGUCCUUGAAAAGUUUAUUUGAUGUGCCCAUAUUCAUCAAGUUGGAGAUAGAUUGGAUGCUGCCAAAAAUUCGAACUUGCCCUAUCAGGACUGGCAUUUACUAAGUAGGGGUGAGCAAUUUCUGGAUGGAUAGGUUCUAGAGAAGCUACCUCGUCAGGAUCAGUUUUCAAUUUUCGAAAUUAGGAACCUACACCAGAACUAGUCAGCAGGGUCAGUCUGGUCCAGUUCUAGCUUUACCCUAGACUGAUGAUCACCCCUAGUUUAAACUAGAUUACUCUUCACAAACCACAGAGAUUGCAUGUGGAGAUUUUAUUUAGUCUUAAAAUGUAUCAUCCUUACAAUGGUUUAUUAGAAUCGAAAACAAAGUUUGUAAAUGUUAAUUCGGAGCGUAGUUUGCAUAAUGAUUUCAUUCCUAAUUGACAAUGAUUAAUAGAAGUCGUAAGAAUUUAAUUUUGAGGAACAAAGCUUUUCUAAUAUCAUUCGUAUAGUUUGAUGUCCAUUUUGAGGCGAAAGUAUUUGUCUCCUAAAGUAUUUGUCUCCUUGAAGAGUAUCUGUCACAAAAAAUCGCGAUUCCUCUUGCCAUGAAGAAAUCUCCAGUUCUGUCCACAAUGGAAAGAUCCCCAGUUUGAGCUGCCUUUAUAUCUACACCCAUUAUGUUCAAAGGGCCCUUGUGAUCCGUUAAAUGGAACACUAAAAUGUAGGCGAACCAGGCGUUGUAGUCACUCUUUAUGUCCUAGAAAUAAAAGCGUUGAGAUUGAGUGACCGCCGAAGAGAGAAAGUAAUUAUCCCUCGUCGUCAAGUGUGGAACCUGAUCAGCUUCCCAAAAUUGAAGUUGCCAAGCUCGGUUUCAUUGUAGUCUGACUGUGAAAGCACAAGUAAACUCUCUCAUGAUUGAGUUGGGUCAACGGUGACCUAGAACUACGGGCUUGUCUUUGUCCUUUGGUUGGUGGAAGACCAAGACCCAAUGCAUAAUCACAAGGACAUGUUAGCAUGGCCCUGCCAAGAUUUUGAUAUAUCAAUCCAAAGAUAUUAAGCAAUUAAGAUGCGAAAGCAUUCCCAAAAUUGAAGUUGCCAACCUCGGUUUCAUUGUAGUCUGACUGCGAAAGCACGAGUAAACUCUCUCAUGAUUGAGUUGGGCCAACGGUGACCUAAAACUAUGGGCUUGUCUUUGUCCUUUGGUUGGUGGAAGACCAAGACCCAUUGCAUAAUCACAAGGACAUGUUAGCAUGGCCUUGCCAAGAUUUUGAUAUAUCAAUCCAAAGAUAUUAAGCAAUUAAGACGCGAAAGCAUUCCCAAAAUUGAAGUUGCCAAGCUCGGUUUCAUUGUAGUUUGACUGCGAAAGCACGAGGAAACUCUCUCAUGAUUGAGUUGGGUCAACGGUAACCUAGAACUACGGGCUUGUCUUUGUCCUUUGGUUGGUGGAAGACCAAGACCCAAUGCAUAAUCACAAGGACAUGUUAGCAUGGCCUUGCCAAGAUUUUGAUAUAUCAAUCCAAAGAUAUUAAGCAAUUAAGACGCGAAAGCAUUCCCAAAAUUGAAGUUUCCAAGCUCGGUUUCAUUGUAGUCUGACUGCGAAAGCACGAGGAAACUCUCUCAUGAUUGAGUUGGGUCAACGGUGACCUAGAACUACGGGCUUGUCUUUGUCCUUUGGUUGGUGGAAGACCAAGACCCAAUGCAUAAUCACAAGGACAUGUUAGCAUGGCCCUGCCAAGAUUUUGAUAUAUCAAUCCAAAGAUAUUAAGCAAUUAAGACGCAUUUAAUUUACAAAAAAAUUAGAAAAUAUUUUUCUAAAGAUAAUCGCCUAUAACGCAUAAAUAAUUAAUGAACUGAAAAAUGUUUUUAUUAUUCAUGAAAAUGUUUAGAUACAAAUUGCUGUCGGCAAUCAAAAUAUUUUUCAUUAAUUAAUUAUUUUAGGUAGUAUAAGUGAUUAUUUUUUGAAAAAACAUAUUGUAUAUUAUUCAUUUUUGGCUAAAUAAAUGCAACUUUGUAUCACAAAAAAGUACGAAAUCAGGCUUCACACAAUAGAGCUUUGAAGAGAAACUUCUCUAUUUGGGACUACAACCAUAGCAAUGUGAGCUACCAAAACGAGCAACAACGUAGAAAGUGACAUGCAAAAGAUAAUUAGUUUUAUCGGAUUUGGUUGCUAUGAUGGACGAAGAUAAUCUAAAUGGAAGGCGAAAAAAGUGAAGAAGUGAGUCAAAGUUCAAGAAAACUACAAUGGCCAUUCAAGAGGAAAAUGGAGAAAACUCAAUUCAAAGCGGAAAAUUUAGCCUGGUUCAUAAGCGUAGGAGAGUAUCGUUAUUGAGCCUAAUAUUUACCUAUCUGACUUGGAUAACUUUGUCAUAGAGAAGAAAGAGGCAAUCUAUUGGAGGCAAUUCAAUCCAAACACCAACCGCAUCUCUUUCGAAAAGGUUGGUGGGAUCUAUGUUAGAAAAAAAAAUGACACUAUAGAGAGUCAAAUGGAUGUACGUUCUCAGUCCACUCUCAAAAUAGCUUCCAUGAUUGGUUUUCUCAAAGUGCGAGUCGAGUCAUGAACGCAAUGAAAAAUGCUUUAAUCGGUUUCUCUUCUGGCAAAACACAUAAAAGAAUGAGAGAUCUGGGAAGAAAGUUACUAAAAUUAGGCAAUAUGCUGCUUCUUUUUACUAGGUGUUUCAACCAGAUCACUUCACAAAAUACAGAGAUUGCGCAUGGAGAUUUUAUUUAAUUAUUAAACAUGAAAGACGGAUCUUCCAUACAAUAAGUUCUUAUAUGUAUUCGAACAAAAUGAGAUAGCGGUUUUAUUCCUAAUAGACAAUGAUAAACAAAAGUCCUCGCUAGAAUUCAACCCUCGAGGUACAAAGCGUGUCUAAUAACACUCAUACAGUUUGAUGUCCAUUUUGAUGCGAAAAUACUUGGCUCCUUGAAAAAGAUCGGUCUCGAAGGUUGCGAUGCCUCUCGCCAUGAAGAAAUCUCCGGUUCCGCCCACGAUGGAAAGAUCCCUAGUUUGAGCCGCCAUUAUAUCUGCACCCAUUAUGUUCAAAGUUCCCUUAUGUUCUGUCGAAUUGAACACCAAAGAGUAGGCGAACCAUGCAUUGUAGUCAUUCUUCAUGUCGUAGAAAUAGAAGCCUUGAGCUCUAGCGACCGCUGGGGAGAGAUAAUUUUUAUCUUUCGUCAUCGGGUCGUCGAAUACGAACAACUUCCCAAACUUGAAGUUGCCAAGCCCCGUCUCGUUAGCGACCGCUGCCGACGUUGCGUUGGCCACGUCGUUGCCACCAAAGAGUAUGUCAUGGAAGUAGAGGACAAACCUCUUGCAUGGUUGGUCCCUGUUGAAGGUUUUCUUGGUAGCCGAUGAGAACUGGCUUGUGAAGAGGAGGAGGAGGAGGAGGAGGACAAGGAAGCAUGAUUUGUGUGCGACCAAGUUUCUCAUGGUUAACUAUGCGUAGUUGCUAGCAAUUGGCUAAUGCUUGUGAAUAAUAGACGGGGUUGCACUUCUCCUUAUAUAGGAAUUCUUUGGACCCACAUUUCAUUGUAGGGACAUACUUUUUUAUUUUCUUUUUCUUUGUUUAAUUCGUUAUACUUUUUUCUUGAAAUAAUUUGUCAAUUUAAGAUAUUAUAUAACCAUUAUCUGUCUCCUAAUGGAUCUAUUUUGACUGCCAAAGCACGUGGUAGCUCUCUCUUGGUUGGUGGGAUAUGGUAUAUUUGCUUUAGGAAGAGGCAUUUCCGGGAAUCUGCGUCAAUGGUAACUUAGCACUAGAAGCUUGUCUUUAUCCUUUGUCCGCGUUAGGCUAAGAGGCAAUGCAUUUUUUUUAUGGACAUAUUGGCAUGACCUACAAAGAUUUUGGUAUAUCAACAGAAAGAUACCAAGCAAUUAGACUAAGGCGAAGAUGAGUGAAGGCCAGGCUUUGUCGUGAUCCUUCUUAAAUGUUAUGGGGAGGGACAAUUUGGAGGUCAUGUCAAAAGAGAAUCAGUGAUCCUCAAUCGAUCAGGAAGAAAAACUUGGGCACCGAUUCCGAUUUUAACGGAGACAUCUCUGUUUCCUCCUCUAUCAAAAUGAGGACAGGGUAUUACUGUUACUGGGUCAAUGAGUACAAAGGAGCCACAAUAAGCGACUAGAUUGAUGAUAAGAGCUUGGCUUAUAUCCAAAUAUCCGCAUCAUGGCUAACGAGCGAGUCUUGAGCAUGAUUUCAUCGCUUCGAUACUCCUAGACGCGAAGCAGCUGAGAACAGAGCGAGUCCUAUGCUAUUUUGAAAUAGACACUAGUGGUGAUGAUCAACGACCACCAACCUCCGAGACGACUAGCAAGCAUCAAGGAAUAGUCAGUCUUUGAGCGUUUUCUUUCCAUGUGACGCCACGACGCCACAAGAAAGGAGUUCUCUGUGAGUGUUGUGUAGAGAAUGAAGGUCCUCGGGUCACCCUCAACGUAAAAACCUUGGCCAAAUAGAAGUGGCGUUUAGGACCUGAGCAUGUCCUUAAACUACUCCACCCUGAAUCGGGCAUUCCAGGGUGCCCAGUUAACCCCAUUUACAGGGGAUUUAACUGGGAUUACAGUAUAACGUCCUCAUUGGGCUUCCCCGCCAACCCCUUCACAGGAAGGGGGGCCCACCUCAGAUCCCCGUGAAGCCCUUCUCUUAGCAUACUAGGCUAGGUUCAAGGAAAUGAAGAGGCCUGGGUAGCCCCCCACGCGAGUGGACUACCCAAUAGAAGUGGCGUUCUUUUUCCUGUCUUGUCUGGUCGCGCCAAGUGGCGCAAUCUUAAGGAGGUGAGUUUAAGUAAGUCAAAUUUUUUGAUGAUCAAUUUGUGAGAUCUUUAAAUUUUAUUGUCCUUAAAUCAAAUGUCUAUCCUAAUUUUUGUGGAAGGUCAUACCGACAUUUUUUAUUUGACUAAAAAAGUCAAUAUUUCGCCAUUUUUUAAUGAAAAUUUGAAACUUAAAUGCCUAAUUUUAUAUGCAUAUGCUAGACCGACACCUAUAAACGAUUUCAUUUUUACGUCUUUGCAAUUUUGACCUAAAGUCAAAUUUUUAGGUUUGACAAAAUAGUCAGAUAAAAAAUUAAUACUUGUUUUUUAAGAAUAUAGUGUCCAAUUACUGAGGAGAUGUAAUGCUCUUAAUUUCUACAUACAGUUGAGGUUCUAAGGACACUUACUAAUUGAUUUUUUUUGUUUUUUUGUUAAGAAACGAGACUCGUUGCAAUGAGGGAUUUCGAUUCUUGAAUUUUCUAACUUAAACUGUCGAGAAAUGCCACCAUUGUGUGCCAAUAGCUUCAUUUAAGCAUGCAAGGAGUUGGUGCAGUUUUGUAAAUGAGCUUGGAUUGAUUGAACUAUGGUGAAUGUAUUAUAGCAAGCGGAAGCUGAAGAAAGAGAAGGGACGUGAUGAAGACCAAACGGAAAUGUUUCUUUGAUUUCAUUUCGUCUAGAUUUGUGGAUCUGAUCUAUAUGAUGACUAAUGUUUCAUGGAGAUGCUUGGCUAUUGGUAAUAAAUCUUGGGUUUAUAUAUAUUUAGAGGGAAUUUUACUUGGCACUUUUGUGCUUAUGGGAAUCUUACUAUGAUUCAGGAAAUGCAGGAAAUAAGGUGGGACGGUGAAAUCAAACCUAAAGAUGGCAAAAUUCAAUUGCGAUUCAUUUAUAUAAAAACUAUAGUAAAAGAGUUGUUGGGAGCACGCUUUAUUCGAGAAAAUCACCAAGGAGUUUAGACCAAUAAGUUAUUGACCAAAAUGAUAUAUUAACUACUAUAAAUAAUACUACAAUGCGGGAAUUCAUUUUAACAUUACUCACUCGUACAUCUCAACAAUCUAUAGAUUAUAACGAUCGAUGAUGGCUGGAUUGUCAUAUCAACAGUUUUCAGUAGAAAUUAAUCAAAAUAAUUAUAUUAAAAUUUCGUUCAAAAAUUAAUGACUAAUUUGAUAAAAUUGAAAAUUUUAGUAUUAAAAUAAUAUUUAUAUAAUAAAUUAAUGAUUGAUUUGGUAAUUUUUCCUGACCAUUUGACUAAUGAUUAAGAUGGUAUCGGUCCACCCAUCUCUGUAGACCAUAAUGCGUUAAUGGAAAAGAGAACCGUGCGAAGAAGAUAACCGGAUGAUGAUGGCCAGGGCGCGGAGAUAAGUCAAAUCAUGAUAAUGGCAAAUGUUUGUUGGGGUAGGUACCGGAUGCCCGCUGGUCCCGAGUUUCCAGGAAAGCACAUGGCCCGAUGACUCUUGACUACAUCCAAGUGCCGUGAUCGAUGCGAACGGCAUCUUUUCAAAAGCGAUCGUACGAUGGAUCCACGGCGCUGAAAACAACACAGCCACGAGGGUUUCUUCUGGGACGCCAGAGUUGAAAUUUGCUUUAUGAUGACUCGGUGCUUUGACAAGUUGGCGGGAUCCCGUUUCACGUUUAGCUCAUUCUCGCUGGCGUAAUCCGAGACGAAGAUUGGGUCGGUCGGUGAAAAGGCGAGUCGAAGUUGGAGACCAUGAUGGCGGCAUUAAAAAACGAGCGGAGCUUCAGAAAAGUGGGUCAUCUUUUCUCCUUUUGAGUAAUUAUGACCAACCUUCAAUGAUUAAGAACCUAAUAAUUUUUUGAUUUCUAAACCAUCAAGUUGACACAUGCUAAGACGCCGCCGUAGACCCACUACUUGCCUGCUUUCCUCUUAUUUCCCUUUUUCAUAUUCUCGCCCACGUGCAUCCACCAUAGCACUAUGUUUCUAGGGAAAUAAUUACCUAAAAAUUCAUAAAACUAUACCACUACUAUUUCAGCCCUAUUUUUUUUAAUUUAAUUAAUUUAAUCUUGAUUUUUUUGACGAUUUACUAAUUUACUCUUUCAUUUUUUCCAAAUUUUUCUAACAUGAACAUAAGGCAUAUCACGUGACAUCGUAAGAGCUAAUGUGGAAGAUCUUUUCAAUUUCUUUUUUAAUUUUCUGAGUUUUUUCUUCUUGUUUUUCCUUUCCUUUUCUUUCUUUUUUGUCCUUUUCAUCUCUAUUUCCCUUCACCAAUCGUUGGCUCUAGGUCAUAAAACGAGUGGUGAUUUUUGGAUGCUUGGGGAGAUUUGGAAUCAGAGUGAAAGUUAGGAAAUUUUUUUUUAAAAAAAAUUCAAGAUAUAAUUGAGAUUGGAUCUAAAAUAAGGUUUUUUUUUUUAAAAAAAAAAAAGAGAACUAGCCUACCAAAACAUAUGUUUUUUGUAUUGCACACAGGUGGAGAUGCUAAUUCUGAAUGGAGAUCAAGAUGUUGUGACAUGUAGUAUAUCAUAGCGUACAAGUUGUGUCUUGUCAUGUGUUGGGAAUGACUGAUCCCCGAAAAAACCGGAUUCGACACUAAAUCGAACCCCUAAACUCAAGCGGAAGACAAGCCCGGGAAUUCUAACACGUAUCACCGAUCCUAAAGCACACCACAGAUUUGAGCGUACUUUUUAGCCACAGAUUAAACACCGACGCCAAUGGAGGAAGAGAAAUCUUGGUCCUGUUGAUCCGGUGAAGCAAAAACGCCUUCGGGAGUCACUGUUUCCCUUUUGGAGGAAAACGACAGAGAGAGGGAGGGAGAGAAGCGUACGUCGUUUCUUUUAAUUAAACGGUCCCUUUUCUCUCUCUCUCUCCUCCCUUUUAUACCCCCUUCUUUCCACGGGCCCUAUUCCCGUGGGCCGGGCUUUCUGGGUCCAACUUGGGCGGACGGGCCUUAAGCCCAAAUCAAAUAAAGUCUUCAUCUCCCACUCGCACAUGGUGGGCCGAACAGGAUUCUCUUUACCUCUCUUUAACUUUCAUACCGGUGAAUAAUCCGUGCGACCAGCAUACUUUGAGAGCUCGUUGCUAUACAUCUGUUAGGAAUAUGUAGCAGCUCAUAAUUGGGCGUCACACUUUGAGUAGAUUUAGUAUGCAGUACCCUAGAUCGAUUGAUCACAUUUAUAUCUCCCUUGAUCUCUUUUAAACAUGAUAUAUAUAUUGUAUUCACAAUUAUAAUUAUCACAAAGACACUCAUAAUUGGUCGACCAGUGAAUACAAAACCACAAUGUGAUUCUCCGAAAUCGAUCUUCCUCUUUCCUUCAAACUCUCAAUUUCAGUCCAGCUUGCUUUUCUAGAAAUGCCCCAUUAGAUCGAAUCAUCUCAUGAUCAUUGGCAACACCCUAAGAUAGCAAACACUAAAUAGAAAUCUUGAGAAUAAGUAAGAGUCAUGAGGGGACUUAAAAAAUUGAGGAACUUUCUUCCUCAAGAGUCUCACACGUCAUAAAAGUUGAGAUCAAACUUUUUGCCACUCUUAUUGGUCGUCUCAUGCAUACGUAGUAUGAAAUACGUAUUACGGUAUUAACUCAUUUCCCAUGGAGCGUAUGUCUACACCUUUCAAUACCGUAUAGAUGAUAGUUCAGACAUACCCAAUGUCUAACUUGAGUUCACGUAUCUACUCUUUUUACAAAAUUCAUCAGAACUCACAUCUGGCAUCUUAGACAGAUAAAGUAAAAUAUGUGGGGUAUUUUACUUUCGGACAUAGUAAGUAUUAUGUCAUCAUCUUAACACUCAGUUAAGGUGACAUACGUAUUUAAAGCUUGAGCUCUCGAUUAUCACCUAGAUAAUAAGCUUAAAAACAGUCUCAUCUCUAUUUAUCACACAGUAAAUAGAGGCGAUUACCCGUGUGAGUGGGCUAAUCUUAUAUCUGUCCGACAUACUUCUCAACAAAAAAUAAUGCACUGAGCAUUAAGAUGCAUAAAGAUCAUACAAAAAUUCAUAGGCAUUAAUAAUGAAACAACACAAGUUCAUUGAUGUGAACAACUCAGGGAAAUUAUAAUAUCCAGUAUAUCAAACUCUACGCAAUCUUAGAGAUUUUACAUGACCACAAAAACACAUCUCUAGGUAUUGGCUUUGUCAUAGGAUCUGCUACCAUUCUAUGCGUAGAUAUGUACUGUAAGUUCACAUCCUUUCGUGCAACCAUAUCUUUCACAAAGUUAUACUUGGUAUCUAUAUGUUUGGUCUUGCCAUGAUACUUUGGAUCUUUGGUGUACGUUAUAGCUGCUUGGCUAUCACAGUUAACCAACAAUGGAUUUGCAGCUUUCUCAUUAACACCUAAAUGAUCCAAAAAUCUCUUAAGCCAAACUCCUUCUUGUACCGCUGCUGAUAAUGCCACGAACUUAGUUUUCAUCGUGGACAAAGCUAUACACUUUUGUUUCUUACUGCUCUAACACAUGGUGCCAUUAUUCGGUAAGAGAACAAACCUAGAGGUAGAUUUCCUUUCAUUUAAAUCUCCUCCCCAAUCAACAUCAGAAUAGCCUUAGAGUCGCAGAUCCUUUCCAUAAUAACUCAACGUAUAAUCAGCAGUCCACUUUAGAUACCUCAGUAUUCUCUUAACGGCUUUCCAACGUGCUUGACCUGGAUUGGAUUGGUAUCUACUCACCAUUCAAACUACAUAACAUAUGUCAGGUCUUGUACACAUCAUAGCAUACAUCAAGCUCUUUACAGCACUAGCAUAAGGAACAUGUUUCAUUUGUUCCUUCUCUUGUGAAGUCCUUGGACACAGUUUAUGGCUCAAUCCUUCACCUUUUGCAAUAGGAGUGUCAAUGGGUUUACAGUCUUGCAUACGAAAUCGUUCAAGAACCUUAUUUAUAUAGGUUUCUUGCGAAAGAGACAACGAUCUCUUCGAACGAUCUCUCGAAAUCUUAACUCCAAGAAUGUAUGCAGCCUCACUCAUAUCCUUCAUCUCAAAGUUGGAAGACAACCAACUCUUGACAGUCUUAACAAACUCCAUAUUGCUUCCAGCAAUUAGUAUAUCAUCAACAUAUAAUGAUAUGAUCACAAAUUGAUCCUUGGAUCUUUUGAUAUAUACACAAUGAUCCUCAUCAAUCAUUGUAAAAUCAUAUGCCAUUAUGGCAUUAUGAAAACGUAUAUACCAUUGUCUUGAUGACUGCUUACGACCAUAUAUCGACCUCAAAAGUCGACAUACUUUUUCUUCUUGACCUUUCACUAUGAAACUAGCAGGUUGUUCCAUAUAUAUUUAUUCCUCUAAUUCUCCAUUGAGGAAAGCAGUCUUUACAUCCAUUUGAUGUAACUCAAGAUCCAGACUAGCCACUAUUGCCAGAAUAAUGCGAAUCGAGGUAAAUCUCACUACAGGAGAAAACGUAUCUUCAUAAUCAAUUCCUUCCUGUUGAUUGUACCCCUUCGCCACAAGGCGAGCCUUAUGCCUUUCAAUCGAGCCAUCAGCUUUUUGCUUUAUUUUGAGAACCCACUUGUUCCCAAUAGCUCUGCGUCCUUUUGGAAGAUCAACCAGUUCCCAGACUUGGUUUGAUUUCAUUGACUCCAUUUCCUCUUCCAUUGCAUGAAUCCACUUUUCCUUACUAGGGCAAUUCAGAGCCUCAUUGAUAUUUCUUGGCUCAUCCUCAUCUUGUGGAGCAACCAUAAAAGUCUCCCCUUCAAUGUCAAAACGUCGACGAGGAAUACUUUGGCGACUUGUUCGCCGUAUGGGAGAUUGUACACUUUGCACAUCAUUUCCCAUUGUGCUCCCACUUGGAUGAAGUCCACUAAGGUCAUUAUCUUGAUCCAAGGUUUCAAAUAGGGAGUGAUCUUCCCCUAUUUCGCCCUUCUUAUGAAACUCAUCCUCUAAGAAUGUGACAUCUCGUGAUUCAAAUUCAGUUAUACUCCCAUUUUCCUGCUCACCUAUGAACACAUACCCAAUCGAGUGUUCGAAGUAUCUCAUUAAAAUACUCUACUUUUAUCUGGGACUCAAUUUCCCAAACUUGUGACAGGAUUUAUGAGUAUAGGUAGCAUAACCCAUGGCUUAAGUAAACUUAAGUCCGGUUUUCUAUCUGUCCAUAACUCAUAUGGAGUGGAACUAACUGAUUUAGAAGGCAUCCGGUUAAGUAUAUAGGCAGCAGUUAACAACGCAUCACUCCAAAAAGUGAUAUGUAAGUUAGCAUGCGCCAUCAUGGACCUAACCAUUUCCAAUAGGGUUCUGUUUCUUCUCUCUGCAACACCAUUUUGUUGAGGAGUAUAUGGAAUAGACAACUGUAUUUCUAUUCCUUUUCACCACAUAAUUUUCCGAACUUAUCAGAUAAAUAUUCUCGACCUCAAUCGGAUCUAAAUACUUUUAUUUUCUUGUCUAAUUGAUUCUCUACCAGGUUCAUAAACCUUUUGAAACAACUUAUUGCUUCAGAUUUAUGAGAAAUCAAAUAGACAUAUCCAAAUCGAGUGUAAUCAUCUAUAAAAGUGAUGAAAUAAACAGCCCCAUGCUUUCCUUUCACAUUCAUUGGACCACAGAUAUCAGUAUGGAUUAAAUGCAGAGGAAGUUCAGCUCUUUUUCCUUUUCCAAAUGGUUUCCUUGUCGUUUUCCCUUCUAGGCAAUGCUUACAUAUGGACAAAUCGACUUUUUCAAUAUUGCCCAACAAGCCCUCUUUGGCUAGUCUAUUCAUACGAUGUUGGCCAAUGUGACCAAGUCUAGCAUGCCACACAUUCACAUCAUUAUUAUAUGAAUUAGGAGACGUGAUAAGGGAAUAACUAACAUUUGCAUUGACAUACUCAAUAUCUAAUACAAUGAAACCAUCCAGAAAAUAACCACAACCAUAGUAGUUUAUAUCCAAAUACAAAUCUACACCUUUAUUAUGGAAGUUCAUAUUAAAACCUAGUCUAACCAACACUAAAACAGACACUAAAUCCCGACGAAUCUCCGGAACAUACAAUACAUCAUGAAGGAACAAAGUGCGUCCACCACGCAUAUUGAGUUGGCAUGUGCCAAUUCCUUUCACUUCAGCUCUGGAGUUGUUUCCCACAUAGAUCCACUUAGUUCCAGUUGGCACUCGUCGGAAUUCCACGAAGGAUCCUUUAUCCUUCGCUACAUGGUCCAUCGCUCCUGAAUCUACAGUCCACAAAGGAUUAGAAUCAGUUAAUAAUACAGAACUCGACACAUAAGUAAAGUUCUGAAAAGUACAAGGGGUGUUUACCUUCUUUGGCUCACGACAAUUGCGAGCAUAGUGACCCUUCUGGUCACAAUUGUAACACUUCACCCUUGACAUUUUCUUCACUUGAGGACGUUUUCCUCUCUUGUGUUGGUUAACUUUUGAUUUCUUGCAACAAGGACUUGAUCCUUUGCAAUCCCACAUAUUGAACGAAUCAAUACGCUUGCGCUUAGAGCUCAAAGCUCUUUUUGAGCUAGAACCAGCAUUGUAAAUGUCUACUUUUGACUCAAAUGCCGUUAGACGGUCCUCUAUUAGCUCAAGGUGGCGCACAGCAUCCUCAAGAUCUUCCAUAAUAUGGACAAGAGCUUCUAGUGCUUCUCGCUUUUCCAGCACAUAUUGGACUUUCAUGUGCCAAAUUUCAUAGUUGUCACCAUUGAGCUUUUCACCUUUGUUCAGCUCGGCAACUAUGCUCUUUGUGGCUGAAGUCAUUGAUCUGAACACAUCAGACAUAUGCACGAAUUAUUAAUGACUAUCAUUUAUGCAUCCCUUUUUACAUAGACCCAUCAUAUUAAUGAAUAAUUUCAAGUAAGGCUUCAGAAUCAAAAGGUCACUAUGUUUCAAAUCAUCCUCCAAAAAACCUAACUUAAAACUAUCAUCAAUAUAAUUAUCUUAUGCAAAAUCAAUUCUAUGAAGCUACAAAAACUUCUAAAACUACCCACAGCUAAUUACCCACAGCAACCAGCAGUAAUAGAAAGCAACACAUUAUAGGCAUCCAAUAAAACAAUAAUGCUUUCAAUUAACACCAAUAACAUAUAAGUUGCUACAGUAUCAACAAUCAGGUAGUAAACAUUACAUUAAAUUGUCCACAAAGCACACUUAAUAUAUAUCAGCCAAUACAACUAACACCAAGUCAGCACACGAACUGGGAAAGAUCAUCUUUUGUUAAAUUUCUUGAUCGUUUCCCUUAAAACAAUACAGUAAUAUUCAUUUACAAAAUCCAUCACAAUUUUCUUAUAGGAAGCAGCUCCGUUGACAUCCCAUAUGCGAUUCAACACAUCUUGCCAUUCAGGUGGAAGAGUGUUUAUGAAAAAUCGCACUAUCUCUGCCUGUGACAUUGGACGACCAUUCCAUAUGACCUGUUGAAUUUUCCCGUUGACUUCAAGGACAUGAUCAAUUAAGUCACCUCUCUCCCAUCGAUGAUCAGUCAGCUCAGCUAUCAACUUAGACAGCCUAUCCUUUUGCUCAUCGAUAAUUGCACGAAUAGGUGCGCGUAAUCUCAGAGGAGGCAUUGUUCCUGCAACAAAUGCAGAACAAACAAGGGAUCACAUUAUAAUCCACAUAGACUUAAUUGAAAAAGAAACACAUUCUUUUCCUUUUUUUUUUGGGGUCAACGGUCAACGGUCGUCGGUCAACGGUCAACGGUCGUCAACGGUCAAUGGCGGUCAACGGUCAAUGGUGGUCGACGGUCGUCGGUCGUCGGAACGGUCGGACCGGUCAGACCGGUCGGGCCGGCCGAGCCGGUCAGGCCGGUGGGCCUAGCUCGAGCGAACCGACGGCAUGUGCCGCGCACGUGCGUGGGCUGACGUCACGCAGACGUCAGCCGACACGUGCCGGGUCUCGCGCGGGUCGGGUCACCGGUUGGGUCGCCGACUGGUGACCGUCCGGCGAACCGUCGCCGUGCUGACGUCAUCGAUGACGUCACCCUAGCGAUUAUUGACCGUUGGGUGACGUCAUGCUGACGUCAGCACGCGUCGGUCCGCGGACCGGCGCGUGCCGGCUCGCCAGCCGGCGGUGCGCACGCGCCGGUUCACCGACCGGUGCGUGUGCCGCACGCGCUGGGCGACGCAACGCUUCCGAGCGCGUCGCGCCCACGCGCAGCGGCUUCUGGCCGCGCGUGUGGGCGCGUGCGGCGUCGCCCGGCGGCGUACGACGUACCUCCAGACUCGUCUCGACGUCACCUUUCUCCCAAUCUUUUUAGAAAACAGUUUCGACAUACGAAAACUCAGUAAAAAGGCCGAAGAACGCUCGGGUGUCGGGAUUUUUGUCCCGAUCCGUACGGCCGAAAGUUUCUUCGCGAAAACUCAAUCAAAGAACAUGAAAUUGAUCGGGAAAACGUGAACUAGGGCUGUGAUACCAAUGUUGGGAAUGACUGAUCCUCGAAAAAACUGGAUUCGACACUAAAUCGAACCCCUAAACUCAAGUGGAAGACAAGCCCGGGAAUUCUAACACGUAUCACCGAUCCUAAAGCACACCACAGAUUCGAGCGUACCUUUUAGCCACAGAUUAAACACUGACGUCAAUGGAGGAAGAGAAAUCUUGGUCCUGUUGAUCUGGUGAAGCAAAAACGCCUUCGGGAGUCACUGUUUCCCUUUUGGAGGAAAACGACAGAGAGAGGGAGGGAGAGAAGCGUACGUCAUUUCUUUUAAUUAAACGGUCCCUUUUCUCUCUCUCUCUCCUCCCUUUUAUACCCCCUUCUUUCCACGGGCCCUAUUCCCGUGGGCCGGGCUUUCUGGGCCCAACUUGGGCGGACGGGCCUUAAGCCCAAAUCAAAUAAAGUCUUCAUCAUGUUAAAAAUUGGUCACAAAAAAAAAAAUUACAAUUUUUAGUUCAUAACAUAAAUAUGAUGGAAAAAGUCCCUAGAGUCUUGUUAGUGCAUAUAUCGUUCAUACACAUUUUCUCUUUGUUUCUUGGCCCAAGGAAACCUUUGGACACCUCUGUUACCUUUGAUAAGAAAAAAAAAAUGAAGAGUGAUCAAUUUAUUGUUGUUACAUAGUGAGGAGUAUAAUAAGUCAAUUUAUAAUCUUUAACACCACUUUAUAGUUCCCUACCGCAUCUGAUUCGUAUGUAAGCAUUUCUAAUACAAUAUGAGUCUUCUUAGACACAAGGAAAAGAUUCAGUUUCAAAGGCUGCGCGUGACAAAAUUUCUGAAACAAAAAUUGAUUUCUAGCCAUAAAUCAAUUUCUUAAUUUCUAUUCCCCGGACAAGUUUCUGAGCAAAGAAACCCGUUUGAUAACGACUCAAAAUUUCUAUUUCUGAAACAGAAAUCCGUUUGAUAAUAGAACAAAAUUUCUAUUUCUAGGAAUAGAAAUUGAUUAGAUAACAACAUAAGAAAUCCUUAAAUACAAAAUAAUAGUCGAAAUAAUACUAAAACAACAUGGGAAAUCCUCAAAUACAAAAUAAUAGUUGAAAUAAUACUAAUACAUUACAAAAGUAUAUGGAAUUUCCGGCAUAUUAUUAUUCCUUGCCAUUUUAUUAGCAAUUGUUUUUCUAAGCAUAUUUAUUUGGCUUCCCUCCUCGGUCAAUGUAUCGUUUGCAAGCUCAUCCUGCGUAGGUUCAGACAAGUACUGUGAAAGCAUGAAUAUGGGUGCCAUCAAUGGCGCUUAUACAACCUUGUCAUUUUAUCAAAAACUAGUAUUAUAUAAGAUUAUCAACAAAAUAAAAUUAAUGGUGUAAAGGAAUAUAUGAGAAUUCUACCUUAAAGUAAUAUUUAUGGUUAGGAACCAAUCGGGAGAAGGUCGGUUUAUUUUGAUUCUUGAAUUGAUUCAGUCCGGUUGCUCAUUCCUAAUUUCUUUAUUGUUGCUCAAUGAACCUUUAAUGGCCCUUGCAUAGAGAAUCUCUCGCCUUUGAAUUAAAAUUCAAGAUUGUGUAACAAUCUAAUUAUUUUGAUUUUGCAAGAAUUUUGAAUCCGUAAAAAAAUAAGGUUAAAUUUCUAGGCACGUUUUUUAUUCAUCUAUUACGUAAGAACUUUUUCUUCAACUGGCCAUGCGCGUGCCUUUUCUAGGAGAAAAGAGCCCCAUUGCUUUUAAGUAAGCAUUUAAGAACUUUGGUCGUUUUUGAAAAUUGGGGACCCAUUCAAUUGCCUUUCAUCCUAAAGAGAAAGUUAUAAAAAAAAAAUUGAAAAAAAAUGCAAAAAAAAAAAAAAACACGAGCAAAAUAAGAAAAAGAAAAUUAGCAAUAAUUUGUGAAGUUGUGGUUAUGAGUGAAUUAAGUUAGCAAGAAAGCACAAGGUUCUUUUAUAUGAUUUGAUUUCAGUUUCUGAUUUCUAUUUCAAAAACUGAGAAGUUAAAAAUUUCAGUUUCUGAUUUCUUCAAUUUCUCUAUUUCUGAAAUAAAAAUCUGUUUCAGAAAUAAAGAAAUCAAAUUGCAUUACCAAACGGAUUUCUGUUCCAUUGGUUCUACAUUUGAUUCAUAACUCAAAAGUUGAUUGAGACAUGGCCUAGACUUCUAGGGAUGCUUGCCAUGAUUGAAUGAGAACAGAUAAGAGGCUCCUGGGGUGGCGCUACCAAUAUUGCCAUAUCCUCCUUUAAUCUUUUCGUUAUAUAAUAGUCUCGGCGACAUUAAAAUUAGCUUCCGGGUAGGACCUCAAGGAGGAUUAAUAUAUCAACUGGCCCAUUUGAACUUUCUAAAUUCUUCUUCUUAUUAUUAUUAUUAUUUUAUUUCCUCUCUAUGGAGCAGCUGUUGAAUUUUCGUCCGGAAAAUAAUGCUAAAUUGAGUAGAGUUGUUGGUUCUACCACGCGAUCCCCCCUUUCCCGUUUGACCAUACAAUUUUUAGUGGUGAGAUAGUAUCAAAACCAAAUCCAAAAUUGGUGGAAGUUGGUUACCAUGGUCCAUUCAAUCAUAAGCGCUGACUGAUUAUCAAUAAAUAUGCGAGAUAUCAUUGUUUGGCAAGUGACGAUGUUGGAAACGACGCUUUAUUGCAUCUAAGCACGACCACAAGGCGAAACGUGAAAUGAAGAAAGCGAAAUUAACUUGAAUUUGAAACGAUAUGAUAUGUACAACUCAUUUAGUCGGUUUAAUAAACACAUUUUUUUUCUCUGUCAUUAGUCAAAAUAAACUCGAUAAAGUGCAUAUCCGAAAUUGCUUGAAAGGAAGGGAUUGCUGCAAAUUAACUCAAUAAUCCAUACGUUUCAAGUAAUGUGCCUCAUUAUCCCCUAAAGAAAAACCAGUCGACGUAUUUCUUAGAUCGAUAAAAGUCAAUUCAAAGAGGAAAAUAUUUCCUGAACUAUAUAAUUCUUGGAGAAUCCUUCAUAUGUGUCUGAAUUUGACCUACCUAUAAUGGGCUUUUCCGUCGUAAAAACAAAAGGAAGAAAGGCAAUGUUUUGGAGGAUUGCCAACCCAGAUACCAAACACAUCUCUUUCGAAAAGUUUGGUGGGAUCUUUAUUGCAUAAAAAUGACACUAGAGAAGUCAAAUGGAUUUGUUUUCAGUACACUCACAAAUUUACUUCCAUAACUGGUUCUCACUAAAUGCCAGUCGCAGCAAUGAAAGUAAAGAAAAUACUUAGUUGGAUAAGAUAAUCAAUCUCUCUUCUUGCAGAACACACACAAGAAUGAGAGCUCUGCGAAGAAAGCUUCUCUAAUAACACUCAUAUAAUUUGAUGUCCAUUUUGAGGCGAAAAUACUUGGCUCCUUGAAAAGUGUCGGUCUCAAUGGUCGCGAUUCCUCUUGCCAUGAAGAAAUCUCCAGUGCCGCCCACAAUGGAAAAAUCCCUAGUUUGAGCUGCCAUUAUAUCUGCACCCAUGAUGUUCAAUGUGCCCUUUUGUUCAGUGGAGUUGAACACUAAAGUAUAGGCGAACCAUGAGUUGUAGUCACUCUUCAUGUCGUAGAAAUAGAAGCCCUGAGCUCGAGCGACUGCUGGGGAGUGAAGAUGGUUAUCUUUCGUCAUUGGGUCAUCAAACACAACCAGCUUCCCAAACUUGAAGUCGCCAAGCUUGGUCUCGUUAGCAAUAGUCGCAGAUGUCGCGUUGGCCACAUCGCUGCCAUCAAAGAGUAUGUCGUGGUAGUAGAGGACAAACCUCUUGCACGGGUGUUCCUUAUUGAGGGUUUUCCUGGUGGCCGAUGCGAAUUGGCUUGUGCAUAGGAGGAGGAGGACAAGGAAGGAUGAUGUGCGCGCAACAAUGUUUCUCAUGGUUAAAUAUGUGUAGUUGCUAGCUUUUGGCUAUUGCUCGUGACCCUAGAUGGAUCUUCGCUUCACCUUAUAUAGCAGUUUUUGGACCCCGCAGUCCACUGUACUGGGACGCCCCCUCUCUCUUUUCCCCCCUAAUUCGUUGUACCUGUUUCUUGAAGCAAAUUUUCAAUAUAAGAUAUUAUUGGACCACUAUUCGUCUUCUAAUGGAUAUAGUCUGACUGUGAAAGCACCAGACGACACUCUCUUGUGAUCGGUUGGGAUUGGUGUAUCUGCUUUGGUUGGUGUCAGGCUAAGAGGCAAUGCAUAAUCCCAUAAAAAUAUUGGCAUGCCCCUCCCAAGAUGUUGAUAUAUCUGUAAAGAGAUGCGCAGCAAUUAGCCUAAGUUGAAGAUUAAGAGAAGAAAUUAUCUUAAGUUUUAUUUUUUGGUAAAACAAGGCCAGUUUUCAAUUUCAUAGAAGUUGCAUUCCAGUGUUCAAGCGAUUAUCCUUGGAAGUCCGUUUAGCGAUCACGGCAUUGGAACUAUACAACUGAAAGAACAGCAAGGUCCAAAAUGAGUAGAUAAAACUCAUGAUGAAUUUGUCACCCAACAAAAUCCCUCAUUCCAGCGAGAGAGAUAAGUUCUCACUAGGCCUAGUGUGAGAUCAAAACAACUUAUGUCACAUCACAUGCCAUAGCACAAAUAAAAGUACUCUAAAAGUUCAGCACUGGGGACUAAUAGCAUUCGUAUAGCUUAAUAUCCAUCUUCAAACGAAAAUGAUCUAGUCCUUCGAAAGAAUUUAAUUCCGCUGCGACAAUUCCUCUUGUCAUGAAAAAGUUGCCGGUGCCGCCAACGACCAAUAAAAACCUAACCUUGUCUGCAAUAAUUUCUGCCCCCAUUAUGUUCAAUGUGCCCCGGUGCUCCGUAGAAUUGAACACCAAGAUAAACCCAAACCACGCAUUAUAGAAGGUCUUCAAGGCCCAGAUAUAGAACCCCUGACCUCGAGCGACCGGGGCUGAAUGGAACACGUGGCCCCUUGUCACCGCAUCAUUGAAUACGACCAUCUCCCCCGAGAAGAAGUUGCGAAGAAGAAGUCGCCAAAUCCGUCGAUCUUCUGUGCGACAGCUAGAGCUAUUAAACGGGCGGGUCAGGUCGAGUUUGAGUUAGAUCAUUAAUGGUCCGACCCAAAUUGACCCAUUAACCAAUUUAUGACCCAUUUAUACUUAAUGUAAAUUUUCCGACCCAUACUCGACCCGACCCAAACCAAACCCAUAUUCAACCCAACCCAUAUUAAUAAAAUAUUUUCAUAUUUAACCAGAUUUAGAAAAACCUAUUCCUAUGUUUUUUUUAUAAGAUUAUAUUACUAAAAUACUUCCAAGCUUAUUUCUUAUAUAUAUAUAUAUAUAUUGAAAAUGGUGUUGCUAAAAUAGUUUUAUACAAUACAAAUUUAAUGGAAAAUUUUUAUAAUUUUUUAAAUAAUUAUUUUUAAAAAUCAAAUUUUCAUUAUUUUUUAUUUUUUCAAAAUUAAUAUUUUUUUAUUAUUUUUAUUUUUAUUUUUAAAAUAUAAAUUUUAAUUAUCUUUUUUUCUUUUUUGUUCUUCUUCUUCGUCUUCUUUGGCCAGCUGCCGGCCACGAUGACAGCUAGCGGCUGGCCACAGGCGAGCCUUGAGCUCGCCCGACGCCAGUGAGCUCGAGUCUCGCCAGAUCGGUGAGGCUCGAGCCUCGUCGGACGUCGACAAGGCCUCCGCCUCACCAGAUCUAGUGAGCUUGAGCUUGCCCCUCGCUGGACGUCGACAAGGCCUUCGCCUCGCCAGAUCUAGCAAGCUCGAGGCUCGUUGGCAUCAGGCGAGCUUGAGCUCACCCCUCGCUAGAUCUAGCAAGGCUCUAGCCUCGCCCGACGUCAGUGAGUUCGGGUCUCGCCAGAUUGGCAGGGCUUGAGCCUCGCCGGGCGUUAACGAGGCGGCAGAUCCAGCGAGCUCGAGCUCGCUCGACGCCGGCGAGCUUGAGGCUCACUUAGCUGGUCACCGGCCAUCGCCAUGUCGGCCAUAAGAGGAAGAAGAAAGAAAAAAAAAAGGAAAGGAAAAAGAAAAGAAAUUUUAAAUAAAAAAAUAAUUAUAAUUUCAAUUUUUAUAUAAAUAUAUUUUUGUAAAGUUAGGGAAGAGAGAGAUUGUGAGGCUUUGGUUGAAAAUGGGUUCUUAAUUCAACCUAUUUAAGACCCACUUAAGACCCACCUAUCAAAGUCUUUAAUUGUAAUCACUGGGAUUCGCUCUAGUGGCCACUUCCAACAUGGAAGGGGGAGGUGAGGGGUUCAAAUCUCCACCUUCUCAAUGGGGGAUGGGGUGGGAACGCGUAAGUUUCAGGAGUGGGUUUCAACUCUCACGCCCUACAAGAGGCAGGGCAAAAGUCUGAGAGUGAGUGUAGAGUAGGAAUAGAGUAGGACUGACAAAAAAAAAAAGUUUUUAAUUGUUAAAUCCAUUUAACUAUUUUUUUGUCAAAAAUAGGUGACCCAUAUAUGACUAAUUUAUGAUUUAAAUGGGUCAUAUUUGGCUCUAAGACCCAUUUUAACACCUCUAGUGACAGCAGUUGACGUUGCAUUGGCCGCAUCGGUCCCUUUGAAGAGCUUGUCCUGCAAGAAGAGGACGAAUCUCUUGCAAGGUCUAUCCUCUUUCAAUAUCGUCUUGGAUUUGAAGGCGUGCUGGAGUGUGAAGGGGAGGACGAAAAUGAAGAAGAAAUUGUGCGAAAUGUUUCUCAUGGUUAAGAUGCUCGACCGAUUGCGCGUGCGAGUUCUUUGAGACAGCUUGUUGAAUUGCGUAUUAGUGAGGUCUCACUUUAGUUUAUAUAGGGAUUGCGUGCAAUGUCUUUGGAGGCAUUGUUGUACUUCGUCUUACAAGGUUUUUGUUAUUGUGUGUCUGGCAUACUUUGCAAAGUAAGAUUCAUCUACGGCCAUUUGGAAUAUAAGAUAUCUAUGUGUUUAAUACAUGUAGAAGAUACGAUGGUAUGGUGCAGGACGGAGCUAAUUUUGAUGUAAAUUCUUCAAAUUAAUAAUUGUACGGUUCCCACCUUUACCUACCCGGUUAUUUUUUACGCAAGAAGUCAAAAACAAAUUCCAAGUAUGUAAAAGGAGCAAAAUACUUGCAAAAUUGAACAAUCCAAAAAAAAAAUUGUUUAAAUGGUUGUAGGAUGAAAAAGAUUUCUGAUUCUAAUUCACAUUCAUUAUGUGAGAGGAUUAAGAGGUCAGGUGUUACUUAUCUUGGGAACUUUGAAUUAAAUGUUGUCAUCUUAGAUGUAAUAUCAUGUAUAGGAGAGUUCUAACUAAGAGGGUGAAAUUAUUUGAAAUUGCAUCUAUUUAAUUGAAGUCAUAAGCAGCCCAAUGCUGGGAGGCUUAUUACUUCAAAUAGUCCUCGUGCUCUUUGAAUAGAUCUCUUAAUUGUUGAGAGGGUUGCCUAAAAGCAGUAUAUAAGGUGUACCUAGAAAAACUUAAAACUAAACCAAAUAUAGAGAUGACAACUAGAGUUGCCAUAUUCAUUAUUAUUUAAUUUCAAGGUCAAAAUAGAUCUAUGAUAAGAUCAUUUAUUUACAACGGAAUGCUAAAAAAAGUCAACAUAUCUCAAUGAAUGCAAAAUAGGAUUUGUGGCUAUGCAAACCUUUGAGGGUAGUUCUCAAUUUGGACCAAGACAAACUAUUAAACGGGAUUUAUUGAGAUAAUUGAAUUCAUAAUAUGGUAAAGUAGCUCAUGGAUGGGUGACUACUCCUUUGAUGGGUGUCACAGUGGCUUUAUUUGUAGUGGCUCCUUUGAAUGUUUAGUCAUAAUAUCUAUUCAUUCAAUUAGUGAUGAUCUAUUAGUUCUUAUUCAAGUAAUCUUUGGACUUGGUUUGAUGCUUUAUUGAAUCAUCGUAGUCCUAAAAUGAAUCUGAGGUUUCAAUCGAUGCAUAGGGUCUUAACAAGGGAACUCCUAUCAAUUAUAAAGAAAAGAAGAGUAAAGUUGCCUUACAAUAAAAAAAAGAAAAAGAAAAUUACAAAUCUAGGGGGAAGAAUAAUGUAAAUAAAAGAUUCAAAAGGCCUCUAACGAUCAAAAUAAAGACAAUUGAGCUGACUUGCUAUACUAGUUCGUAUAUGUGGAGAAGUUAGAAAGGAUUGAUGGCAGAGUUUCAAACUUUGUACUCCAUAUGCCUUAAAACGAAAGCAAUAUUUUCGAUUUUUGUUUGAGUUGUACGAGAUGAAUUUCUCCUAUAUAGUUCUCAAAGGGGGCUACUAUUUGCUUAUCUAUCUUAAUAACCUUUAGGAUUGAUUAGAAGAAUGUCUCGAGAUUCAGAUGACAGCAAACGAGAUAAAAAAGUAAAUAUAUUUCUCAUCACGUCGACAUAUUUUAUUGUCCAAGAGAAAUUACGCCUACUUGUUUUUUAGUACAAGUAGCUACAGGAUUUGUCAUGACUUUUUACAACCGUCCAACUAUUACGGAGGAUUUUGAUUUUGUUCAAACAUAAGGACCAAAGCUAACUUUGGUUGGUUAAUUUGAUCGGUUCAUUGAUUGUCUACAAGUACGAUGGUCCUAAUGAUGAUCUUGCACACAUUUUGUGUAUAUCUCAAUGGUUGUAUAAAAAAUCUUGUGAAUUUACUUGGGUUACAAGUGUGAUUAUGGCUAUAUUCACAGCAUCCUUUGGCAUAACUUGUUAUUCGUUACGUUGCGACCAAAAUAGUUAUUGAGCAAGCAAAAUUAUAACAGUUGUACUGAAAACUAGUCCUUUGAUAGGAUCCCCUUAGUAGAGUUACUACUUAGAAGUGCUAGUGUGGGACAAACCACUUUGACUUGUUUUUAGAGUUUACACAGUUUUUCGUUACCUCUUCUUACUGCCAUGUUUAUGUCAAUGCAUUUCCUAAUAAUACGUAUGCAAGGUAUUUUUGGUCAUUUAUAGAGAACACAGAUCGUAGAUAUUUAUAAGUAACCAUUUCUCACUUGUAGAGUAAUAAUAGUAUUUUAUUGCCAAAACAUGGCUUAUUGAAAAAAAAUAAAACGUGUAUUUGGAUAUUUCCCUUCAACUAUACAAUCUAUUAUUCUUUAUUUGACAUGAAUAGUUGAUGUGGAUUCUCUAAGGAGAAAAUGCAUUGUGGGUUGGUGUAAGGCCGUGUGAAUAGAUAUAUGCUAUAAUGAGCCACACUGUACAUUUUGUUAUUAGGUUUUGCUAGAUUUCUCAUCUUGCCUCUCAACUUAAGGAUUUAUUUGUUUUAACUUCUGGUUUGCCUCCCAACUUUUUAGGGGCGUCGCCCUUGUCUCCAAUGUCUCAAUUUUGGCAAAAACUCCAUGAUGUUUUCAAUUGAAUCUUAGAGUAUCCCUAAUGUUGUCUCCGGCCAAAUUCUAGCCAGGUGUUCUCAUUUCAAUAGCUUAUGCUCACUCGAGAGGGGCAAAGUUGUCCGGUAAAAUAAGGACAAUUACAUCUUGCCUCCUAGAUUUUUCAUACAAUAAUUAAGGGCCCGAAGUGGGGUUAUUUUCUCAAAAAAUGGCAUAGAGUGGACUUUGUUUCAAAGAAUAGCCUGAAGUGGUUAAGUCAAUCUCAGAUAAGGACCUAGGCUAACCAGAGGGCCAUUUCCAACUACUUGAACAUGGGGAAUUUGGUCAAAAUCUGCUAUUGGAUAAGAAAUUGAAGAAAAUGCCCAAAUGACUUUUCUAUAAAUUUUCACGUUUUCUUCCUUCCUCUCCCCCGUUGCUUUUGCCUAAUCCUCAGCCGCGCCAGUCCCGGUCUUUGUCGCUUGCCUAAUCCUUGGCUGUGGCUCUCUCGGUCUUCACUGCUUGCCCCAUCCUUGUCACUCCUCAUGAGCUUCAGUCCGCCGUUUGCCGUUCAUUAUCGGCUCUUCUUUCCUAGAUUCAUCAUCCACAAUCUUUUAAGACGUCCAUGAGCUUCAAGUCCAUUGUCUCGUCUGCAAACUUCAUUCACUUUCAAUCGAGGUCAGCUAUCGUAGCUUGUUGUAACAACACGUUGCCUAGGUAUGGGCAUGUCAUGGAACAUCACACCAAUGGCACUGAGGCUCUCUUCGCAAACCCGAAUGUCUGUUCCAAUCACAGUCACAAACCCUGCUCCUCUCGCCGGAAUUAUCUUCUUGCAAUGUUGUUUUCUCUAGUGGAGUAAUUUUCCAGCUUUGUAAGAAUGCUAGUGGAUUAGCAAUCUGGGCUUUGCCAUGAUUGUAUUUGGGGGAAUCAUUAGGAAGUUGGCGAUUAGAACUGCUUGCGGGGGGGCGUUCACGCAUUUGAUCAAAAUUCAUCAUGAGGAUCAUCACAAGCUUAUAGCUUAUGGAAUCUAUCAAUUCAUCCGUCAUCCUGGAUAUUUGUUAAAGCUCAUAAAAACAACAAUCAAAACAGCAAAAAAAUUUGUUGUUUGAGAGAGAAAGAAGAUAAAAAAAAAAAAAAAAUACAGAGCAUAGCACUUCAUAUGUCUUGUGCGAAAGAAAAAACUGUCGAGUACAACAACUAAAUACAAAGUAGAAACUGCUCACGUACGUGCAAUACAUAACUACACACAAACGUGCUAUUAACUUCCUAGAAAAUAGCAAAAACACUAAAUGCAUAACUAAAUGAACUUGGCUGUUUUUUAAUAAAUAAAUAAAAAACAGAGGAAAACGGAGGAAAACAUGACAGAAAACAGCAGCUGAACAAUUCCAACAAACUCCUCCUUGGAUCAGUUGCUGCUGCAAAUUCCUAUUUUCUCUCUUAAUAGCUCAAAUCUUCCAGCCUGAAGUGGUUUUGUGAACAUAUCUGCAAGCUAAUCUUCAAAUCUACAAUAGACCAACUUAAUUUCGCCACUUUGUUGCACCUCAUGCAGAAAGAAAAAUUUGACUUUAAAAUGCAUGGUUUUGCCAUGAAAAACUGGAUUCUAAGAUAUUGCUAAAGCAGCCUGAUUAUCCACAUUAACUUCAAUGCAAUCACUAGAAUUCAACCACAAAUCCUUCAUUAUCUUUUUUAGCCAUAAAGCUUGAUUUGCAGUUGCAGUAGCUGCUAUAAACUCAGCCUCUACUGUGGACUAAGCUACAAUCUCUUGCUUUUUGGAACACCAGGAGAAACAAGCAGAACCAAGACUGAAACAAUACCCAAACGUACUUUUCAUGUCAUCCACUAAACCAGCUCAGUCACUAUCAGAAAAUCCUUGUAAAUUAAACUUCUGACAUUUCUUAAACUUAACACCAAAGAACAAUGUUCCUUUGAGAUAUCUCAAGACCCUUUUUGUUGCAAUCAAAUGUAACUGACUAGGACUACUCAUAAACCUGGAUAAAACACUCACAGCAAAUAGAAUAUCUGGUUUGGUUGCUAUAAGAUACAUGAGACACCCAAUCAGACUUCUAUACAUAGAAGCAUCUACUGCAUCUGUUCCAUCAUUCUUCUGCAGCUUCUCUUUAGCAGCCAUAGGAGUGCUUACACUUCGACAAUCUUCCAUCUGAAACUUCUUUAGAAUUUCCUUCAUGUAUUUUUUCUGACAGAUGAAGAUCUCAUAUGAAGCCUGUUUGACUUCCAGACCCAAAAAAUAAGCCAUCUUUCCCAAGUCUGACAUCUAAAAAAAUGCAAAUAGAUCUUGCUUCACCUUCUCUAUCAAUUCCAUACCAUUCCCCGUCACUAAUAGAUCAUCUACAUAAAGUGACAGAAUUACAACACUGUGAUUCACCUUCUCGACUUAAAGAGUGAACUCACUUAAGCUUUUUACAAAGCCAAAAUCCUGCAAAUAUCGAUCUAUCUUCCCAUACUAAGCUCUUGGAGCCUGCUUCAGUCCAUAUAGAGCUUUCCUCAACCUGUAUACACUCUCUUCUUGCCCUUUGAUACUGAAGCCUUCAGGUUGUUCCAGGUUGUUUAACAAAAAUCUCCUCCUCAAGCUCUCCAUUUAGAAAUGCAGACUUGACAUCUAACUGAAAUAUAAGCCACUCCUACUCUGCUGCAAUAGCUAACAGUAACCUUAUUGUAUCAAGUCGUGCAACAGGAGCAAAUGUUUCAGAAUAGUCUACUCCCCAUAUUUGUGCAUAGCCUUUCACCACCAGUCUAGCUUUGUAUUUAUUGAUAGAACCAUUAGGAUUAAGUUUUGUUCUAAACACCCACUUAACCCUAAUCACAUUCUUAUCAGAUGGUCUAUCAACAAGCUCCCAUGUGUGAUUUUUCUGGAUCAUUGCAAUCUCCUCCUGCAUUGCUGCAAUCCACCUAUGAUCCUCCUUAGCUUCCACAAAGUUAGAUGGUUCGAGCAUUGCCACAUUGCUUCUUUCAUAAAUUUCAGCAAGUGACCUUGUGCCUCUCACUGGUAAAUCAUCCACACUGUCUUCUAAUCCAUCUAUAACUUCAUCAACCUCUACAUCUGUUGCAGGUUAUUUUUCGAACUGCUGCUGUUCUGCACUCUUUCCUUCCAUCCAAUUCCACUCAUCUUCCUCUAGAAAAACAACAUCUCUGCUUACAGUCACCUUCCUUGUCAUAGGGUGAAAAAUUCUAUAAGCCUUUGAUUGGAGACUGUACCCAAUAAAGAUUCCAAGCUCUGCUUUCUUAUCCAGCUUGUCCCUCUUGACCUCAGGAACAUGAGUGUAACACAUACACCCAAAAACCUUCAAAUUUUUCACAAAAAGUUUAACACCAUACCAGACUUCAAAAUGUGUUGACUUCUCUAAGGCCUUUGUGGGCAAUCUGUUCAACAGGAACACUGCAGUAUUAGCUGCUUCAGCCCAGAACUUCUUAGAUAACUUCUUCUCCUGCAUCAUACAUCUAGCCAUCUCCAUAAUGCUUCUAUUUUUCCUCUCACUGACUCCAUUCUGUUGAGGUGAAUAGGGAGUAGUGAACUGCUGCACAAUUCCUGCUUGCUCACAAUUCAACUUAAACUUGUGAGCAGUAUACUCAGAACCAUUAUCAAACCUGAGCAUUUUAAUUUUCUUCCCACUCUGAUUCUCAACUAAGGCUUUAAACUUCACAAACACAUCAGCAACUUCAGACUUGGCUCACAGAAAUAAAUCCAACUCAUCCUAGUCAUAUCAUCAGUGAAGGUAAUGAAAUACCUGCUACCAUUGAGAGAAGACUCAGACAUAGGUCCACAUAGAUCUGUGUGGACUAAUUGCAGCUUCUCACAUGCUCUCCAGCCUCCUCCUUUGAAAGGAAAUCUGGCUUGCUUGCUAAGAAGACAAGUUCUGCAUUGUGGAAAUUCCUCCUCCAAACUUGGCAAGUCAUUUACCAAGCUAUUUCUCUGCAUAAACGACAUGCUCUUCCUGUGAACAUGCCCAAGUCUUUUAUGCCAUAGCUCUGCAUUUUCUUCUUUGCACUUUAAAGCCAUUUGUUGCAUCUCUUGUGGUUUAAACAUGAAACUCUUGUCCCUCAUUAGGAUUCUUAACACUUCUUUGCUAUUUGCAUUAUUAAUAAGACAUUCCUUCCCUUCGAACUUCACUUUAUAGCCAUUCUCAACUAAUUGACCAACACUUAACAGAUUCUGGUCAAUGUUUGACACAAAAAGAACAUCACUGAUCAGCUUCACCUCCUGAUUUCUUUCAAUAGCCACUGUACCCUUCCCUUACACUUCGAUUUACUGUCCGUUGCCAAUUCUAACUCUGGACCUGACUGACCUAUCUAGACUCCUAAACAGCUUCGAAUUGCCAGUCAUAUGAUUGGUACAGCCACUAUCCACCAGCCAUGCAUCAUUCCCAACAGAAGAUUCAGAAAAAGAAGCUACAAACAAGUGCUCUUCCUCAGUUUCAUUCAUUGCUACCUGUGCUUUUCCUGCUUGCUGAUAAUUUUUUUUCUUUGCAGAUGGCUUUCGUGUGACCUAACUUGUGACAUCUUCUGCAUCUAACAUCAGGCUUUCUCCAACAUCUAAAAAAACUGAUGAUUAGUUCCACCACAGUAUUGACAAGGCUUUUUAUUCAUCUUUCAUUUGCUAGACCCACAAGAAUUUCCUUCUUUUGCUACAAACUUGGAGUCACCAGCAUUUUCUCUGGACUGAAUCCAUUUCUUCCCUUUGCCUCCAUCAUUUGACUUCACUUUAGCUUGCAGCGCACCCUCUACAAACUCUUCUCUUCUCAUCAGUCUUUUGUGCUCUUGUGCCUGCAGAGCAUUUAACAAUUCUGCAAGCUUUAUAUUAGCUAAGUCUCUUGUAUUUUCCAGAGAAGCUAUGGUGGCUUCGAACUUCUCUGGAAGAGAUACCAGGAUCUUCUGAACAAGCCUUUCAUUCUUCAAGUCAGUCCCUAAAACUCUGAUUUUUUCAGCUAUCCCAACCAACCUAUCAGAGUACUCCUUCACUGACUCUGAAUCCUUCAUCUGCUGUCUCUCAAACUCCCUCAAGAGAUUCAACACCUUCAUGCCUCUUAUCUUCUCAUCUCCCUCGUAUUCAUCCUUCAAGAAAUCCCAUAUUGCCUUUGCAGAAUCACAUCUCAUGAUCCUUGUGAAGAUAGUGGGUGAAACAGCAGCAUACAGGCAUGACUUUGCCUUGGCCUUCCUUGUGAUUCUCUCUUUAUGGUAUUUUAUCUGAUUCAAGGUUGGAUUGUCUGGAAGUGGAGCAACCUCAUAAUCAUUCUCCACAGUCUCCCAUAAAUCAUGACCCUCCAAGAAUGCCGUCAUCUUGACAGCCCAAGCCUGAUAAUUUUUCCCAGUAAAGACUGGAGCAGCCAUUGUAGAGAAUCCACUCGAUCCUACCUCCAUCGGCUUUUUCUUUGCAGAUUGGAAGCAAUCCUCACUCACUUACCCUCACUUCACAGUCCCUUAAGAUCCCACAAACGCUCUGAUACCAAUGUUAAAGCUCAUAAAAACAACAAUCAAAACAGAAAAAAAUUUGUUGUUUGAGAGAGAAAGAAGAUAAAAAAAAAAAAAAAACAGAGCAUAGCACUUCAUACGUCUUGUGCGAAAGAAAAGAAACUGGCGAGUACAACAACUAAAUACAAAGUAGAAACUGGUCACGUACGUGCAACACAUAAUUGCAUACAAACGUGCUAUUAACUUCCUAGAAAAUAGCAAAAACACUAAAUGCUUAACUAAAUGAACUUGGCUGUUUUUUAAUAAUAAAAAAAAAACAAAGGAAAACAGAGGAAAACAUGACAGAAAACAGCAGCUGAACAAUUCCAACAAUAUUGAGCAUUCUUCAUUUGGUCGAGUGGGACUCAGAUAAUACUGUGCAAUCCCGUGUUGAUGUUUGCGUUCGCAACACUCGUUUGGCAUUUAUUUGCAAGAGUCACCUUGUGAAGAGUUUCUGUCGAGACAAUUCUUCGAGCAAGAGUAUGAGGAAUAUGAGCAAGGGGUUCCAUUUGUGUAGUGAGUUCUGCAUCUUAAGGUCUCAGGAAAGAGUGUAGCAUCCUAGAUUUAGUUCCUAUUUUCUGUUGGAGGCCUCAAUGCAACUAAUUGGAUUGGAUUUAAGAAUGUUAAUGCAUCUAUGUGUCAGAUGAAACUCUGUGAGCCCUCCAUCUACAAAUUGGACUAUUUAUAAGUUGUAAAGCAUAAUUUUAUAAAUUGAGAAAUCAUCUUCGCUCAGCAUGUUUGUUUUGAAAGAUUUUGUGCAGACUUAACUUUCUGCACGAAGGCUUGUCAUUCUUGUCCCUAGUUCUCUCUUUAGUUAUGGCUAUGUUACAUUCACAACAUGCUUUGUAUUGAUUUAUCAAAAUGGCAAGGUGAUGGAAUGGUUGAGUGGUACAUGUUCUAAUUUCCCAAAUAAAAUCUUUUGUUGUUGUUCAGUGAUGUUUGUUAACUCCACAAUAUUCGCGCGGUUGUUAUUUUUUUGUAGGGGUGUCAAAAAACUAAACCGAACCAAAAAGUUCGAUUUUUUAUGUUUGGUUUAUUGAAAACCAAAUUUUUUUUAUCGGUUCGGUUGACCGAACCGAAUCGGCAAACCGAUGAAAUCCUCUCCAUGAACCAUUAACCAAACCUUAUUUCUAAUUCCCUCUAGUCUCCUCUUGUCUUGGUUGGCUCAAAGGUGCAAUAGUAAUAGGGACGGCGAUAGGGACGGGGAUGGCGACUGCGACGGCAACAGGGAUGGUGACCAAUCGAGGGACGAAAUUCAUUUUUUCUGUGACAAAGCUUGUCUCUCCUUCAUCCCUCUUCCUUCUCCACAACCCCGAACCCAAGUUCUCAACUGUCGUCACCACUCGCCCAAUUCAAUCUCCUCUCUUUACGUCCAGUCACGAGCCGCCGCGAUCCCUCGAUAGCUUCUCCCCCAUGGCAGACAAAGCUGGCCCAAAAUCAGCCCCUCUCACGCUAAGAAGAAUUUGUAGUGGUCACAUGCCCAAGCAUGUCGUGUGCAGGUAAGUGUAUAUACCAAGUUCAAAGAUUGUUGGUUUAGAGUGAGAAGUGAGAGAUGGUGUUUUGCCGAUGUUGGGUUUUUAGAGCUAUGUUGAGAAUUUAUGUUAGGUGAUUUUGUAGGAUGGAGGAGGUUGGGUACAUCUUAGUGACUGAUGUUCAGAGGGAAGCAUUGCUUGCCCUUUUCUCUAGGAGGGAUUGCGUACUUCAUGCUCAGGUUGAUCUCUUAUUUAAAUUGAUUUCAAUUUUUUGUUAAGAUCAAAAUGAGAAAAAUCGACAAGAUUAUGGGGCAAAUCAUGCAAAACCCAUAUUGAUUUGUUGCUGAUAAAGUUGAUUUAGAGCUUAAUAUGCUGGUUUUGUGCCACGAACGAUGUUAAAUCCAAACUUGAAAAUAGUAUCCCGAAUCGCACAUCAACCAUUUGACAAAAUGGUACUUUAACUAUCAAUGUUGCUAUUUUAACAUGUUAUUGGUGAUUAUGAAUAGAUUUGGCUUUAUGGGACGUGUCUAGGAAAGUAGUUUUCUAAAAUGGAGAGAGACAUGAGUGCGAAGAAAAACUAUUAUUGUUUUACAUAUAUCGCAUAUAUUUACUAGUUGACCAAUUGUAUCACCUUUUGUGAUUGUGGAUAUAAUUGUAAAUACGUAGUAUUAUGAGAAUAGUCAAAUAUAACCUUUAAGGGAUAUGUAUACUUGGAUUAAUGUAGCAAUAUAUGUCUGGAGCACUGUAAGACAUCAAUUGUUUAUUUUUUUUAGGGUUGUAGCCAUUAUGUCAUCCCUAACAGAUGCCUAAUUUGAGCUCCAAAAUAUAGGUGUACUCACUGGUCGCACAGUUUUCUCAUCAAUAUAAAUUAUUUCUAAAGUCGAUGAAUGUUGAAUAUCUUAUAUUCUUGAUAGAGUGCUAUCAAGCCCAUCAUGUCCGAAUAGAAGAUGUUGCACUUUAUUAGUACGUCCAUGAUGUGAUGCAAUUAAGACACACCAUUUUAUCUUGAUAUAUUAUGAUGGAGAGACACCCUUUGAAAGGGUAUGAGUCAUAUAAAAAACUUCUAAAAAUAAUCGUUGGGACAAUUGGCAGAAACAACGUUUAGAAAGAAAUUGUUCUCUCUUCUUCUCCCAUUUCCAUCAAAGAAAAAAAAAAGGCGUUCAAUUACUCCUUUACAAAGACAAUCGGCAUUUACAUUGUGAAAAUUGAAUAUUUUCCUCAUGACUGCAUUCAAACCACCGUGAAUACAUAUUGUUCAUCGUUCACCUAUAAUUCAACGUUCAUUUCAAGAUAAAUUGUUCAUUAUGCAUCCAAAAAAGGUUAGUCAUCUUCCGCCGACUUUCUUCCAACAUUUACAUAGGGACCAAAUUUGAUAUUGGGCAAUCAAAAUUAUAAUAGGUGUACCGGAAACUAUUCAUGUGAUAGUAUCCCUUUUAGUAAAGUUAUUACUUGGAAGUGGUAGUGUGGGACAAUCCAUUUAGACUCAGUUGCACAGUUUACACACCUUCUGUGUUUCCUCUUCUUAUCGCCGGCUUGUGUUCAUGUGUUUCCUAAUGAUACAUAUGCAACGUAUUUCUAGUCCUUUAUAGAUCAUAAAUAUUUAUAACCAAACAUUUAUCACUUGAGGAGUAACAAUAGUUUUUCAUUUCUAGAAAUAUGGAUUACUGAAAAAGAAUAAAACAUGUUUUAUUUAUUUAUUUAUAUUUCCCUUCAACUUACACUCUAUAAACUUUAUUUGACAUGAAUGGUUGAAGUGAAUUCUCUAAGGAGAAAAUGGAUUAAGGGAUUGUAUGACUUCAACUAUUAAUUAUAACGUGUAGAUAGAUAUAUGCCACUAUUGCCACAUUGUAUAUUUUGGAAAAAAAUUAUCAAAAAAUUCAUAGGCCUAUUAUAUGGAUACCAAGUUUAUCUUAAACCUUUCAAUUUAGACAAUUUAGUCUUAAAUUUUUGACGAUUUGUUAUUGUAGUCCUCUCAGCUAAUUUUGGCAUAUAAUUGCUAACGUAGAUGUUAGUUAUUUUACAUAGCAAGGCCAGUGAAGGCUAACUUGGCAUGGACAAUUUUUUGCAAAUUUUCUUAAUAUUUAUGAAUUUUUAAAUAAAAAUUUUGAAUAUCUUCUUCUUCUUUUCUCUUCUUCUUCCAUCGGUCGCUAAGCUUCGAUGAUGGUUGAUGACUGGCCAUAGGCUUGGGCUGGCGACGGCUAACCUUGCCUAAUUUGAUAGAUAAGGGUGAGCUACGUGCGAGGCUAGCAGGCCAAGCCUCACCAACUGUGUAGUUUCAUUUGAUUUGCCGAGGUCAACCCUUGUUGGCCCUCGCUUGUCCCAAUCACUAGCCAUGGCGACUAGUGGAAGAAAAAAGAAAAGAAAUUCAAAAAAACUUGUCGCGACCUACCCUCGGGGGGAGGGAAUAGGUUUAGGGGUAUUGCCUAAAGGACGGGCCUAAGGCCCAUGAUUAGGCGUAGGCUCUCCCAAGCCCAUACCCGGCGUGACAUUGGGAUAUUUUUUUUUAACUUUGCACAAAUGGAGUCGCCACUAGCCUAUUAGGGUCAGCUAGAAACCAAGUGAGGCAUGGGAGUGUACCUCACUUCCUACGCAACCGGAGAAUCUAGGGCCGGGGACUUAAUUACACUAAUUGACUAAUUAGUGCCAUUUCGGUACAUAAUCUUGUUCAUUUUAACAAAAUGAUUUUCAUUAGGCAAUUUAGAUCGAUUUCAUACCUAUCAACUAACAUAGGAGGUGAGCAUGUAGGUGCACAAUCAAUAAAGUAAUAAUUAUACCUACCAAGAUCCUAUUUGCCCUAAAAUUAAACACGUGCAAAUUAAACAUAAAACAAGCAAAUUAAACAAACAAUAAAAACAACAUGCAAGAAACAAAGGCUUAAUUACACUAAAGCGGCAAUACAAAGCAAUUCCUAACCAAACCCUAUCAUUUUUUGAUUUUCUAAAUUUUUAAUUUAAUUUAAUUUUUUUUAACUUUUAAUUAAAAAAAGGGCGAAAUUUUUAAUGUUUUCUGAGUUUUUUGAAAUUCCGGAAAAAAUUUUGAAUUUUUAUCAUUUUUUCGAAAUUUUUUAUUUUUGAUUUUUAUUUUUUUAAAAAAUUUUAAUAUAUAUUUAAUACUUCAAUAAAAUGGGUUCGGACCGGGUAAACCCGAUCCGGCCCGUGGACCCAACUUAAACCCGGAUCCAACAUUUUUGGGUUAAGAAAACAUUAUUUUAAAAUAUUUCUUUUAUAGCCUUUUUUAAAGAUUCUUUUUUUGUUUUUUGUUUUUUUUUUUUUAAUCUUUUCCUCACUUCAUCCUUUCCCCUGCACGUUCUGCCCGAAUGUCCUUCCCGAGGCCAGCUUUUGCCGUUUUAUUUUUCUAUUUUUUAUUUAUUUUUCUUUUCUUUUUUUUCCUGAUUUUUCUUGGUUUUUCUUUUCCCCUUUUUUUUUUUUUUUUAAUUUCUUUCCCUCCUGCGACUCCUCCUUCCCAAGACCAACCUUUCCUUUCUUUUUAAUAUUUUGUUUUGCUUUUUCACUUUUUCCAUAUUUUUCUUUUACUCUUUCUUUUAUUCUUUUUUUUUUUUUUGCCUUUUGGUCUUCUUCUCCUUCGUGCUUGCCCCCUCCGCUCGAAGCUUCCAUUAAACCCAGAAUUUCCCGUGAACUCAACCCCAACCUAAAAGCGCCAAAACCAUGAUCUUGACGCGUAUUUAUUCCAUACCAAGCCGAGAACAGCAUGCGUCACUAUCCAACAUACUCGAAUUUAUAUAAAAUGCAAAGUGCCAGAUGGGAGUGAGGUGCGACAUACGGCCAUAAGUUCGGAUAUCCGCAAAAUGCAUGUGAAAAUGGACAAAAAGAAGACAAAUAUUACCCUUUGAAGAUGACACAGACACUCCAUCCAGCCUACACGCUUAAAAUGGCUUUCUUAUUGAUGUUAUCUCUCUCUUCAUUACUCUUUGUUUGUUUCUCUUGUUUUCUUUUCUUUAUUUAAUUAUCCCUUAACCAAGCGUGAUUUCCUUUCUCACUGAAGCUCCCUUUUCAACGUUCUCUUCUUUGCCGAGAACAACCCCAUCGUCAAGAUCUCUCUUGAAGAAAUGCCAUUGCUCAACCUCACUAACCACUACCCACGAUCAACGAGUUAAGACUUCACGCAAGACGACCUCAGUAACUAGCGAUCAAAACGACUAUACACGAGCUUCGGAAACGGCAAAAGGUAGUGGCUAUUUUCCCGAAGCGCUUCAAGGGCAUUUUAUCAAACACCAAGGGUGCAUCGACUCAAGGCAGCCACAGACAACAACAAGACUCAAAACUAGACCACAGCUCAACGAGAAUGGCAGGGAAUGCUCAAUAUCAACGAAAGACAGCGUAAGCGAACCCGAAACUCACGUCCCAACUUAGUAAACCAUGCAAAAAAAUAUGAAGGAACAUGACAAAAGCAGGGCACAAAGAGAAGAAUGUCUGCGGAGGUCCCUACCCGGCUCGAGGGUGGCGAAUGGCGGGCGAGAUCGAUAGAUCGAACAAUGUCCGUUUGCCUCGCAUGCCCCCGAGCCGGAAUCCUUGGGAAAUCGACACGAGCUGAACCAAAAACCAGGGAAACUCACCGCGAAAACUUGAAUUCAAGGAAAAGGAAGCUGCGGCUUGGUGGUUCCGGCUUGGAGGCGCAAGCUCGCGUCGGGGGGUGGCUGAGCGAUGUUCGGCUGAGGUGGAUUCCGGGCCUCCUUCUUCGCGGUCACUCUUCGCUUCUACCCCUCUCCUUCCUUCAAGCUCUCUCGCCAAAGGCCCUCUCCAAUCUCUCCCGGCCAAAAAUCCCCCCUUGUGUUGCUGUUGUUGGUCCCUCUCGGCCAAAACCAACGUCGGAGGACAUGGAAAAGGGGGGAAGCGCGAGCUCCAUUGCACUGGUUUGCGCUGAGGACGGCUGGACGACACCCACCCGGGGCUAAAUUUCAACCCUCUCGCUCAAACUCCCUCAGGCUCUCAAAGACCAGCCGAGAACCCCCCUCGCUUUGCGUCUGUCUUCUCCCCCCUUCUCUCUCCGAUUCUCCCUCGUUUUAUACCCGGCCAGCAAGUGCGCAUGGCCUCUGCGGCUGCCAGCUUGCCGACCGAACUGCCCCCUCCGACUCGCGGAUCAUGCUGGUCGCCUGCAAUCCCUAUCCCCUGCUCCCGAUCGCUGCUCCAUUUUUCUGUUCUCUGCAGGUCGUCGCGCGAAGGACAGCAGGAGGGAGACGACCGGUUCGUGCGUGGAUUGGGCUGAAGGGAAAAGGUGGAUGGGCUGAGCUGGUGGGCCGCGCGAGGGAAAAGGAAAAAGAAAGGGAGGAAGAGGCCAGCCUAGGGUUUGUCUAAACCCAGGCCCAGCUACCCCUUUUCUUUUUCUUUUUCUUUUUUUCUUCUUUUUUUUUUUUUUUUAAUUUCGAAAUUUUCUGAUACUAAUUUUUUUUGAUAAAUUUUUUUGAUUGAUUAUAAGACUAGUGACACAAAUUCUCCUAAUGUCUAUGUGUGAUGCAAUUUUAACGAAAUUUUUUUUGUUGAGGGGUUGAAAAUCAAUCCCCAAUUUUUCAAUGCAAUUAAGAAACACUUAAACAAAUCGCCAAAAUUUAGGUGUCAACAAAACUAAAAUAUUCAUAAAAUUCAAAAAAACCAUACACAAUGACACCAAUUGUACUACCUAGGAUAACUGACAUCCAUGUCACUGAUUAUUAGGUAAAAUUAGCUCAGAAGACUAUAUCGACAAAUUAUUUAAAAAUUUAAGAUUAAUUGACAUAAUUGAAAGCUUUAUGAUUAUAUUGUUGCGACCCGAUCUCGCCGCCCUCGAAUGUCAAUGGUGGGAAAAGUUAGGUUUAUGGGGUACUUGAUCACGAGAGUUCCCUCACGAGAUCACGAGCUCUCCCAAGCUCCUACCCCGCGUGACAGCGGGUUUAUUUAUGCGAUCUAAGUAUUUAACAACCUAAGAAUAUACAAGAGUCACCACUAGCCUUUUUUUUUUUUUUUUGGGUUGGCUAGAAAACCCAAUCGAGGGUCGGGAGAAUUCCCUCGAUUCCUAUGCAACCAAAUAUCUAAAUUUGGGACUUGUGUUACGCUAAUAUAGCUAUUAGCGCCCUUUCAGUACCUAAACAAUAUGUUGUGUUUUUCCUAACAUGUCCAUGCGUCUCUUUUUACAUUUUCGGGAUCAUCAAUUUUAUACUAAGUAAUCAUGCGUGGUGGAUUACUUUCAUUCUAUUUUAUUCCUAAAAAAUGAAAGGAAGACAAUCAAUGAAAUUGAAAUUGCAAGACAUGAAGUAAACAAUCAAUAAAAGCAGUAAACCUAAUCAUGCAAUCCUAAAGAAUAUAAAAGAAAAAACAAUUGUGAAAGAAAGGAAACCCACAACUCGUCGGGUUUUAUACAACACGUGGAACCUGAGACAUAUGUCGGGAAAACGAAUGGUACAUGAUAAAUGGUCGGAAUGGACAUCGACCUCUACCAUCUUCACGCUUUAUCCAUGUUCAAGGCCCUAAUCUAAACCUUAUCUAAGAAACAUGGAUAACUAGGUACAUACAAAUGAAAAAAAGCAAUCAUCACAUAUCAAAACAAUCAAAAGCGAUACAUCUUUUGCAUUAAAAAAGAGUGACUAAAGUCACAAAGUCUCUGGAUCAAAUUCUAGGUGACAUCCCAAGAUUCAGCAUUAUUAUGCGUCACACUUAAAUCAUUCAUCUAAUGAUCACAUGCAAAGCAUAUAACAUGACAUGUAUUUAUGAUAUAUGAUAGUGAUUCUUAAUCAAUCCAAACCAGUAAGUGAAUCAACUAAGGAUCACUUAUUCAAACACAUGCACCAUUGAAUACACUCAUGCAACAUAUAUAUUCAAGACAAACGAAGCAGUCGAUAUGUAACCCACAUGAUACCUAAAGCCAUCUUGUAGACAUUUGACAAAGGACGUCAUUUCAUGAAGGAAGCGUCUCAAGAUUCCUAACGCAUGAAUUUCUAAAAAAAUACUAUAACAUGAACUAGUCAGUCUAUAAUAGAACAGGGCAACAUGAAAAAUAGGCAUUCUACAACAUAUUGAAGGCAAUUGGAAACAUUUACUAUCUCAUUUCAAGACUAACAACAACUAGCCACAGAAAAGACAACAUUUCCCUAAUCGAAUCAACUUCGAAAAAAUCUAAAAGAAUUAUAUGUUGUAGCCAAGAAUAUGUCAAGAAAACUUUCUUGAUCCAUUGACCUCCGAAUCCAAGCAAAAAUUCAGAAGAAAAUCAGAAAACAGCAAACGUGUUCAACAACCACAGCAGCUAGUAGAUCUCAAAUCAAAUUUCCAGCAAAGUGCGCAAACUUUCGAGAUGGUUUUGAGCUAGCAAAUGACUUUCGUUUAAGCCUUUUAAUAUAUCAAAUCGAAGUUUAUCGAAUGUAGAUCGAUUGUCCAGAACACAUCAACUCAAGAUUUCGAAGUUUAUGACCUCAAAUUUGCCAUAGCAAAAACUAAGUCCUGAAAACCUACGAAUUUCCAGAGAAUGCAAAUGACCACAGUCAACAUAUUGAUCAUCUAUUAUCCAUUGCGGCAUCUAUAAUCCAUGAUUUUAGCAUGCAAUUAGAAUUGUAACAGAGCACACAAGACUGCAAAUUGUGAUUGUUUGAUGACAAAUUGCCAUGAAAUUGAGGCCAUAUAUUCUCACAAGCACGUAUGAGUUUACUUGAUCAAAAUAGCAUCAAUCCAUAACCAAACUAGCCUCAAGUUGGAAUCAAAUGCACACCCAAUCAUGGGAUAUCAAGACAUGGUCAGCAUCAAUGGAUUGAUUUUUAGUAAACUUUGAUUCAUCUCUGACAUAAUAUCUUUUCCAAGCGAAUACGAAAUUCAUCAUAACACAAUCUUAUGUCACUACACAUGCUUACUUAAGUAGAAUAGCAUCAAAUGAAGGAUCAAUGGACAUUAGUUCAGGGCCGCAACAUCUCAAUAACAAAGAUGUGAAUGAUGGAAAGAAAAGAAGAAACACAAGUAAUAAAAACAACUAAAUGCACAGAGUCCAUAGUUAAUGAUUGUGGUCUUGUCAACCACUGUCAGUGAGCUUCUAUUUCAAGAGGCAAGCUCUCACUCGAUCACCGGCCAUACCUCAUACACAAUGAUGAUACAUCAGAGUAACAUGGACAGGGGAAAAUGAGAUAUAAUAGAGAAAUCUGAGCAUAUAAGCAACGAUUCCAACACUGAACUCCGUUUGUAUAUAAGACUCAAUUAAAACCUGAGAAAUCAAGACGCAAUUUCCAACAUGAGAAUCAUAAAGCCAAUUCAAUAACAAAUGAGCAUCGUAUUCUAACUCAGUCGGCCACAGUAAGAUUUCACAAGUCAAGAAUGAGUUGAGUUGAUGCAUUACGACUUUCAGCUCAAUGAUCUAAUAGAAACACACUCAAAUCUAGUUCCAGCAUUUCAUCAAACAUGUGAUAAAUCGACAAUUCACUUUUAUUACCAUCACAACAACAUUAGAGCAAGUUUAUAUCCUUACUAGAACCUCAAUCGUGGCUGAUUUUCACAGAAACGGUGGCAACAAUUCCCAGUCUCUACUUCGUAUAUAAAACGCACCUGACUAAGGAACCGAUUUUGGAGCUAAGAUAGAACAGAGUAGCUCGAAACAAAAACCUAACCACGAUCCCAAUCUUGUAACUCCAAGCCCGCAAAAUCGUGGUGCCAAAAAACAAACUAAUCCGCUCUAAUAGAUCGCUGCGACCUCAGUCUUUUCAAAGCAGAGAAAUGCCGAGACCUAAAAUCUAAUACCGAGGACAACGCACCGAAACCUCAAGAACUCAAAAAUGUCAUCGCACCAGGAAGCUACGUGACGUCAUGGAAUCAAGAAAAAUUCAGAAAGAGAGCGAGUUUUACCUCCUUCCAGUUGCCUAACAAACCAGCGCCUCCAUUUCGGAGGUCGAUUCUGCAGUGGCGGAAGAGAACUUGCGUCAGCGCACCGGACAAAGAGAAACAAAGAACCGAAGGCGAUCUGCAAUCCCGAAGCGAGGAACCGGGAUAAGGAAAUGAUCGGAAACCGAUGUUGCCGCCGCCGUCGCUGUCACCGCCGCUGAUCGGCUUCGGAUCUGAGCCCCUCACCUCGAGCCCCUUCACCGGCGGUUACUCUGUUUUCUAGGGUUUUUAGAAAAGUGCAGACAAGGAGGUCGAGAUUCCGAGAGCAAGAGUUCGUUCGGCCGUUUAGCCGAGAGAGCGGGAACCCAGGGAGAGAGAGAAAUGAAUCUCAAGAGAGAGAUCCUUCGUCGAAUGGCCCCAUCGCGCCAAAAAAUCAGCGAGCCCCUUUUAUAUUUUUUUUUCUUUAUUUUUUUCUCUUCUUUAUAUAUAUAUAUAUUUUUUUUUAAUGUUUUCUCUCUUUCUUUUCCUUUUUUUUUUUCGUUUUCCUUAUUUCUAAUUUUUUUAUCUCUUCAUUUCAUUUUUUUUUUUAUAAUUUUGCAAAAUAUUUGUUUAAAAUGUCAACGAGAAUUUCGGGUGUCUACAUAUAUUAACGGCUGUAUAAUAAGUUUAGGACUUUCUAAAUAAUUAUCUCAUAUAUUUUGUUAAACUUAUUAUCUUGCCCCUCAACUUAAGGAUUUAUUUCUUUAACUUCUGAAAAAGGAUCCCAACUUUUUAAUGUUUUCAAUAGGAUCUUAAAGUACCUCUUAUGUUGUCUCUAGCCAAAUUCUCGCCGAAAAGUUGGUUACAUGCUCUCGUUUCAAUUGGCGAUGCUCACUUGAGAGGGGCAAAAAUCUUCCUAUAAAUUUAGGAGAUCUACAUUUUGACUCUAGAUUUUCCAUAAAUAAUAUUUCAAAAUUUUUGUAAUGUGCCCCUUGGUAUUUUCAAACUCGCAAUGUUCCCACUAUAACAAUUGUAAGAUGAAAAACUAAUUACAACUAAGGAAAAAUUACACUCGAAACUCAUGUCAACCCUCUAUUAGCAAAAGGAGAAUCAUUCGAAGAAGUUGUUAUUAAACCUUCAAAGAAGCGAUUUUCCUCGCGAAUACGUAUAACUAUCAUGGCAUUGUAAGUAUACAACUGAAGAAACAAUGAGGUCCAGAGUAAGUAACUAAAUCUUAUGACGAGUUAUCACCACGAUAAAAUCCCUUAUUCCUGCAAGAAAUACAAGUUCUCACUUGGGCUAGCAUGAGAUCAUAACAAUUUCCAUCAUACGACAUGCGACAGCACAAAUAAAAGCACUUUAAAAUUUUGGCGCCAGGACCUAAUAGCAUUCGUAUAGCUUGAUAUCCAUCUUCAAAUGAAAAUAAUCUAGUCCUUCGAAAGAAUCCAACUCCACCACGACGAUCCCUCUCGUCAUGAAAAAGUCUCCGGUGCCGCCAACGACCGAGAAAAACCUAACCUUGUCUGCUAUAAUGUCUGCGCCCAUUAUGUUCAAUGUGCCCCGGUGCUCCGUUGAAUUGAACACCAAGCUGAAUCCAACCACGCAUUGUAGAAAGUCUUCAAGUCCCAGAUAUAGAACCCCUGAGCUCAAGCGACCGGGGUCAAACGGAACACACGGCCUCUCGUCACCGGGUCGUUGAGUACAACCAUCUUCCCAAAGAAGAAGUCGCCGAAUCUGUCGAUCUUCUUCGUGACCGCAGCCGACGUCGCAUUGGUCGCAUCGGCCCCGUUGAAGAGCUUGUCGUGCAAGAAGAGGACGAAUCUCUUGCAGGGUCUGUCCUCUUUCAAUAUCGUCUUGGAUUCGAAGGCGUGUUGGAGUGUGAAGAGGACGACGAAAAUGAAGAAGAAAUUGUGCGAAAUGUUUCUCAUGGUUAAGAUGUACGAUGGACUGCGCGUGCGAGCUCUUUAAGACAGCUUCUUGAUGGAAAUUAGUGAGGACUCACUUCAGUUUUUAUAGAGAUUAAGUGCAAUGUCUUUGGAGGCAUUGUUGCACUUCGUCUUGCAAGGUUUUUGUCAUUGUGUAUGCAUACUUUUUAAAGUAAGAUUCAUCUCCGGCCAUUUGCACAUAAAGAAUCUGUGUGCAUCGUACUUUGUACAAUAUAAGAUGUUAAGGUGCAAAAAGAGAAGGAAAAGAUCUACGCAAUAUCUCUAGCUAAUUCUAAUGAAAAUUUAGGUAUCGACAUAAGGUGAUGAUUCUUGAAGCUUUUAUCGUGUGUAUGUGGGGAUUUUGUCUUUAUAAGUCAAGUUCGUACAUGUGAUAUGUUUCGAUUGAACCAUCACAUCCUUUGAAAAACAGUGAUGCUAUAUCCAUACUUUUUAUUAUGGAAUCAUUUUGUUUGCACAAACGGGUAUAUUACUUUGAAAGGACAUGUAUUUCAACGAUAUGUGAGGACUAAUAAAUCUUUGCACUACUGCUCGUUCAAUCGGAAUGAGAUGUAACCUAGACACUUUAAGGGAAAUUAUCCUGCCAUGUGGCUGCUUUAUGAAGAUAGUUACAGAUGAGCAACACUAUCAUUAGCACAUUCGGAGUCGGUCUUCUCAACACAGUAAUCCCGAGUGAUUUCAAGCUAGCAAAUGGUUUAAGCUCCAUGUGGAGAUUGCCCUGAAGGAAGCUACCAUUCUCUUCUUGAUCGUCGCCCCUUUCGCGAUGCUUUAUUGCGAUGUUCUUCCCUUAAACCCUAACCAGGCAUUUUUCUCAAUUACUGCGAUAAAACAAUAGCCCUCCCCAUAGAAAUCCGAGAAUGAUUAGUUUUUACGUCUUCCCUUAAACGAUCAUGUAAGCUAAUUGUUUACGAUUCUAGGAAAACUUAUUUCAUAAAUUGAUUAAUUUUUAAUCAUUCAAACAUCGGAAAUUCGGAAAAUAACUUAUUGGAAACAAUUUUCUUUCAAACAAUUGAACCUAAGGUUUUUAAAGAUUGACCGGAUCUUGUCUCAAUCGCUUUAGAAUAUGUCCCAAGCAUUUGCAUGUGGGCAAACUGUCUUUCCAAGGAGUUGCUCCUUCAAGCUACUUACUGGACAAGGGAAAGCACGUUGUACAGAUUUUUUUAACAAAAACGCUACAUUCUAAGUUAUCAUCCAUACCGACCAAAAAAAAAAGAAAAAGUUAUCAUCCAACUCCUAGAAGUCAACUGUUCUACAGAGCAAGUCUGCUGAAUAAACAAAAGCAUAGCCGUAUAACACCUACAAAUAGCUUGAUUCUCAUGUCAAGAAAGAGAAUAUUGUAAUUCCACUCAUUUUAUUAUUGAAAAUAACAUUUUUAAUUUGCAUGGCUAAAAAAAAUGUUUAAAGGCACUCGUUACUCAAGUGAUUAAAUCAUUGAUAGCAUAACUGUGGAGUAUAUUUGGAAUUUCUAUUAUCUGGUCAAAUCAAAUUAUUAGCCAAAAAAAAAGAGGGAGAAAAUGAAGUAUCAAUUGACUUAUUACUGCUGACGUGAUUAUGAUUUAUGAAGGAUCCUACUCAAAGUACACAUCAAUUUAUCUACUUUCACUUUCAGUUUCUUCAUAACAUAUUUCAUCAAUAGUUAAAGAAAAUGCCACAACCAGGGUGACAUCCACUUGAUAUGAUAAUGCACAAUUAAUUUGCUUAUGAAGUUCACUUCUUCUCUUUUACUUGGCAAUCGCAACCGAAUUAGUAAUUAUCGAGAUAUGAAAUGGGCAAUAAAGCGAAGAACAGCAAUCCGUGAAUAUAUGUUGUUCGACAGGGGAGGAGAUGUUUUCACCGUGCGAAUCAAGAAGAGCAUGGGGAGGGCGCCUUUUGCACAAUUUAUUGAAACAAUAGUAUUUAAUAGAAAAUCAAGUCAACAUGCCAAAUUGGGCCCCCCCCCCCCCCCCCCCCCCCCCCCCCCCCCCGGCCGCCCCGAAAUUCAAGUUGAUUGGUUAUGUAAAGCUCUUUAUUUUUCCAUACUGCCCUCUUCAUAGGAAUGUGCAAAAUAAACUGUCCGAAUCAAAAACUACCUGGACUGAUUUGUUCCGAUUUCUGAUUUCUAAAAGGGAAACCGAUACUUGUUUUUAUUAUUUCUUUAAAAACUUAGUAAAAUAUGAAUUAAACACUAUCUUGGUUUGAUUCCAAGUAGUGAAAAAAAAAAAUGGCAAAAAAUAAGUUACUAGUUCCAUAGGACCUCAUCGAUAUUGGGUACGGUUCUAAAUUUUGGAAAUUGGUUUUCCUAGUCCAGUUCUUAGUUCCACUUUGAACCGGACCAAAUCAAGAAUCGAUUACCUCUUUUCAUGACAUUAGAGUUUCUCUUAAUGUUGAAAAAAAAGCCAUAAGCCUACUAAAAGAAAACUUCACAAAUUUGGCAGGCAAUCAUAGCUCACAGAAUGCAAGGAUUUCGAUACUACAGCUAUCCACCUCAGCAACUAUGAAGGUAAUUGAUCACCAGAAGACAUACAGAAUGAAACCGAUCAGUUCGAACUUUGCUACUAAUUUUUCAUCACCUCUUAUUACACGUCCACAUCGCGUUCAGCACCAGUUUAUGGACAAUCUGACCGAAUCAAUUGGUUUCCGACUCUUCGCCCCGCCCCGAUCCGACAUGCUCCACUGACUCCGAGUCGAGAGAAAUCCCUUCUGCAUAUUGCUGAACCACCAACACCGAGGCCGUGGUGAACUCCGAUGAAGACAGUAAGCUACCGACUGGCCCCAGCUCUGGGGUCUCGCUCUUUGUGUCCAUCGCCGCAGCUAUCUGGCCCUCCGGCCUCCGACCGACCAAAAACAGAUUGCAGCGGCUAAAUUCCUUGAUCACGUCAAUGGCUUCUCCUGGAGUUUUUACUUGUCUCUCUUCAUACUUAAUAGAAUCCGCAUCCGGAUUCUUGAAUUCAGUGAGGAACAACUGAUCCCCUGACAUUGACUUAGUGUGGGAAGAAGCCUCGUCAUUGAUGCCGACUCCGACAAUUUCCCCAGCAAUCUCAGGGUUCACGACGAACGAGACCACCGAUAGACUAAUCCCAGGAUGCUCUGCCAUACGCUUGCCAUAAGCCAGAGCUUCACAAUCAUCUUGGCCCCCAAAGAACAGGACAGUGAUGGUCGAGGAAACAUCGCUUGCGGGCACGUGGGAGCCUCCUCCAAGCCCGCGGUCCACUAAGAUCCCGACCGAGCAUGGAGCGUGCUCGAGAACCUUCUUGUUGACGAACCGAAACUCGGUCCUUGUUGUCUCCAUCACCCCAUCGAGCCUCUGGUGCUUGUGGAAAGGCAGGAUUAUGAUGGCUGCCCUUUUCCUCUCGGCACUGGCGCAGAUAUCCUCAUGUAUGGUGGACAUCGGGGAAAUCGCAGUCAUUGGCCGGAUCAACACAUGGCUGAGCUGCCGGAAAGCCUCGAAAGCCACGACGAUCUGGUUAUCAGGGUCCUGCCCCUUGUUCCAGAAGGGAAGGCCAUUCUUCCGCGCCUUGUGAACCAUGAGAAUCGCAGACGACCUCUCGGAGAGCUCCAUGAGGUGCAUGGCAUAGACGCAGAGCCCUUCCCUCUUCUCUGUGCCGCGCGAGGCCUCGAUGAGGUUGAUGAACGUAGGGAUAUUCUUGAUGCUGUGAAAGCAGGCCAAGAUACGGAGCUGCGACUCGGGAUUUUUCCUCUCAGUCUUUCUGUGCUUGUAAGUGCCUUUGCUUUUCAUCUGCGCAGGCUUGUAUACCGCCACCACUAGGGGCGUCGUGAUGAAGGUCGUGAACACGGCCAUCAGGACCAUGAUGGCGAACGUUUGAUCAUUCAGCACCUGCCAGAUAGAUUUUGCAACAGCAGAACACUCAAGAGAAUAGCUUUAACCAAGUGCAAAAUUCAGAUCAAGAUCGAACGAAACGAAAAGAUUGAUUUUACCUUCCUGUCUUUUCCGAUAUUGAGGACGAUGAGCUCCACCAAUCCUUUAGUGUUCAUCAGGAACCCCAGAGCUAGAGCCUCCUUAAAGGGGACUUUGAACGCAAGGGUCGCAGCCAAUGUGCCCACGAUCUUCCCGAAACAGGCCGUGCAUAUAACCAGAACAAGGAGACCCCAGGACUGAGCGCCCCGGAUCGCCGCUAUGUCCGUCUUCAAACCACUCGAUACGAAGUAGAGCGGAAGGAACAGGCCCGAAAUGAGGUCCUCAACUUUCUCGACGAGGGCUACAGCAAAUGGCCCCUCUUUCGGGACAAGAACUCCGAUGACGAAAGCGCCGAAAAGGGCGUGAAUGCCAAUAGCAUCAGUCGCGAAACCUGCGGCUAAAACACCUGCCAAGGUAGCGCAUACAUACAUCUCGUCGACUGGCUCACCCUCGGGGCAUCGCUUCGCCAUCCACCUGAAAAUAGGCGGGACUAAGAAUAUGCAGCCGACAACGAAAGCGAUGCCGCACAAGAAAACCCAUAGAGAAACAAGAGGAGAACGGCCGGUUCCCGAAAGUGAAAUAGCCAGGGCAAGUAGAACCCAGGCAGCUACAUCGUUGACGGCAGCUGCCGACAUGGCCAUCCGGCCAACGUCGGUGGUCAGAAGCUUGAGUUCAGCCAGGAUACGUGCCAGAACCGGGAACGCCGUGAUGGAAAGCGCGACGCCCAUGAACACAAGAAAGGGCGGUCCAUCCACCGAUUUGGAAAUCGUCCCCCGGAGGACGAAAGACGUGCCAAUUCCCAUUGCAAAGGGGAGGCUAAUCCCAGCAGCCGCAAUGCUCAGGGCUUUCUUGCCUGUCCGUCGGAGCGAGCUCGGGUCGAGCUCGAGGCCCACGAGGAAGAGGAAGAAGAGGAGGCCCAGGUUGGCCAGAGUGUCCAACACCGUGAGGCUUCUCGCCGGGAAGAUCCUCUGCAGAUAGUGGUGAUUCCGACCCAGCGCCGAGGGCCCGAGCAGUAUCCCUCCCUGCCAUAAGCACGACGAGAUGCGAAAGCGACAUUACUCGUUCAGUGCCUUCGAUUGCUUUAAACAAAUGUCACGGACUUUCAUCAACGAAAACACCAUACUUUCACUUUCAAAAUCUCCUGGGAAUUUACCAAAGCAUAGCGCUCAGCAGCGUUCAUAACGAUUUCCAUUUCCAGGGUCAAAAGAAGCUCCAGACACGAUCUAACUAGUCCUCUUUAUCAGUACCAUAAAUUAAAGCCAACACUACCAAUCUUCUUUCUCCAAAUGAAAAUAUCUCUAGCCAAAAUCCUUAGCAGAUUAGCAUGAUUCGAAGCAAACAGAAUCAACUCUCGCACUGUAAUUCCGAAACGAACCAAGCCAAAGUUUUCAUUUUUCCUUUAAUAAGUAGAGCGCCAUUCAUUGAGAAAACCCGAAGAUGGCAACAGGAAAAUAGAGAAAUUGAACAGAGGGAGACUCCACCGUACGGCGGGAGGAAUAACAUACCACGAUCUCAGCAAUGACGCGAGGUUGCCUGAGCGGCCUGAGGAGGAAAGCCAGGAAGCGAGUGACCAAGACGACGAGGCAUAUCUGCAGUAUCGCCAGCGGAAGGGCGAAGUCCAGUGGGUUGUCGCCUUGGAACACCCCGUUCGAGGUGGCCUUCAUCGCCGCCGGACACGAGGUCGCGUUCGUCCCGUUCGUCGUCGCCAUCGCCCCCGGCCCUCCGCCGUCGCCGAUCUCUCUCUCCCUCUCUCUUACCCACUCGAAGUCUCACUGCAGAAAACCGAAAAUCAGCAGGCGAUUUCACGUACAAAUCCCGAUGUAAUCUCGAGAAUUUUUAAAGGGUUUACGAAGAGCUUCAUCGCCAUCGCAUGUUUAAGUGCCAACUAAGCUCAAAAGUAGGAAAGGCGCAACAUUUAAGGUAUCCAGUCUAAUGCUAACUGAAAAGGAGGAAGUAAAUAUGGAAUUUUUCAACGAAUUAUGGAAAAAUUUUAAUAUGACACUAUUGGAACAAGGUGAUACAGAUAAUCACUAAUCACACCUUAACUUUCGAAAUAUGGACCAUUUUUUUUUAUCUCCAAAUUCAAAAUGCCGAACGAAAAUAACAAUAGGGCGAUCGAAGUGCGGACGUGGCGAGGCUCUUGCAUGGCGUAGCCAAACGUGGCAGGUGAGAACCCAUCGAAACCAAAUCAUAAUAAAUGCGGUGGGAUCCGUGAGUUCCGCCAAAAGGAGAAAGAAUUCGAAACCCAUCCUGGCUCCUGCCUAUUUUGAAGUGACAUUAUUACGUGCCGAUUUAUUUCCUUCUUUAAAAAAAAAAAAACUUUAGGAAAGUCAAACGGCUAUUUUUCAGUACCGAAAAAUGAAAAAAGAAAAAUAAGAAGGUAACCAUAGUAGCUCGAGGGCGAAGUCAAUAAAACAUCGCACCAACGAGUUUUCUAUCGCAUCAUGGGAUGUCGAUUUCAAAGACUUCUUCUAAGGAGCGAACGGGCCGCUCGUGGGCCCCAGUUGGCCCCAAUUAAAUGAGAGGUGCGGUGCAGUUGACUUUGAGAUUAGAUGACAGCGUGACGUUCUUCUUUAAUCCUAAGAAAAUUGACUCGAAGAUGACCCCACACAUGCUUCCCGAUAACACACGCUUGCAUAAGCCCGAAGGGGGCGGCGUUCGUUCAUGUUGGCUGGAGUGUCUGAUGAGAUGCAUCAAGAAGAAGAAAAAAAGAAGAAGAGGAAAAUCAUUAGAUAGAUCAAAUCUAUCAAUGAAUUAAAUUUGAUGGAUCUCAUGUGAUAAAAAGUUUAAACUAUGCUAGAUUAAAAUGAUUGGAAUAUAUUUAGUCACACGUGACCUAGGAGACGGAUAUGGCACCACCCCUUUUGUUUUUUGGGGAAAUCUUAUUUUUUGGCAGAUUAUAAGAAUCCGAAAAUAAAUGUGCUUCUAACUACCUGAGCUGCAUACUUAGAGGCUACAGCUGAACCACACCCACGUAGUUUUGCUGGAAUUGAAUGUGCUUUUGCUUGAUUGACGCCUUUGAAUUUUAGACGCCUCGAGAGAGAAAAGGAAAGAAGAACCGCGUGGAAAAAUGGAAAUAGUAAAAUCUCGAACGAUCGGAACCCUCAUCCUCCGCGCUUCGUUACAAGAGAAAAAGAAGGUCUCCUUUAUCCGUUUCGAAACGCCAAAUCGAGUUGUAAGCCAUGUCAACGAGCCACCCACAAGAGAAACCUCAUCUCACUCAACAAGCAAGGGACGUUCUUUCCUCUUCUCUCUCUCUCUCUCUCUCUCUCUCUCUCUCUAUUCUUCUACGUGAGUUUUCCGGGAAAAGAAUGAAAAUCAGCAAGAAAACAUUUCCGGGAAAAGAAUGAAAAACAGCAAGAAAACAGAGAGAGAGAGAGAGACCUGGAUCAGUCGGACGAAGCUUCGCGGUGCCUUUCGCGGGUCGUGUGUUUUCUACUCUGGGCGAAAGGACGCUACCAGUAGAUCACUAUAGGCGCUCCGUUUCAGGUGCUACUGUGUAUAGUAAUGGCGGAAUCUUGGCGGAGUUAUAGCAGUGCGCAGAAAGGGGAGUGGAUAUGAAUGGAGGAGGACGAGGUUGAAGACGCCCCGAACCCGAAUUGCCCCACCCCCGUAUUAAUAGGAUCUUCCUCGUCGCACCCAGAAAUACCGAUUCUGCCCCCUUCCUUCUUCUUCUUUUUUUUUUUUUAAUUUCUUUUGGGUAAUGAUCCUUUUUUUUUUUUUUUCCCGAAUUUCGUUAUUUGAAUUUCUUGAAGGAGCCCCGCGAUUUACUCCACUGCCUAGCGUGCUUAUGCACAAGCGCAAGCAACUGCAAACGUAGGAUUUGGAUUUGGAUUUGGACAGACACGUUAGGCACUUUAGCUAAGUAAGGAGCGAAGUAUAUUUUUAUUCAACCUUGAAGUGUGUUUAUCAUUUAUUCAAACCGAAAUUAUCUAGAGAAAUUAAAACAUAAUUUAGAUGAAUACACACACAUAUAUAUAUCUAUCUCAAGAUAGAAAUAACAAUUAUCAGGCAAAUAAAGAGAUAGAGAGAGGAAAUUAUAAUCUUCCAAUCUAGAAUAGAGAAGGCUAUUUGUGUAAAAUUCCUUUUAUAUGAGUGCGUAGGAACUAUUUGUGCAUGAGGCACCAAUUGUAGGCGAGCAAUUGCUUCCUUGGGAGUAACCAAUCAUAAUAAUAAUACUUGCGUGUCGAAGAAAGUCAACUAAAAAAUUUAUGACAACAUAGAAGUUUGUCAAAGGAGUAACUUGAGACAUUUCACACUCAGCAAAAAGAUAAAAAUAAAAGGUUUUCUUUUAUUGUUUCUAUGCAGAGUCCUCAAAAGCAAUUUCUAAAAAAUGCGGAGCUAUAUUGGGUCAAAGGGACUUCCCUAAAAAAUUGUGAAACUACGGGAGAAAAGGUUAUGUAUUCAAUAAAUUACUCAUAUUUACACCACUCUAAUCUUAUGUGGUGAGCCCUUGACCAAUUUCCAAGCGAUUAGAAUUUUAGAAUAAUUUCUUCACGUCUCGACGGUUGUUUCAUGAUAAAUUGAUUUGCUUAUCGCAAAUUAUGAAAUCUAAAAUUAUAUAUGAACAUGCAUGUUCAUAUUGAGACAUCUUGAAAAUUUCUAUGCGUUCCCACCAUCAUUUGUUAAAAUGAAAAUUGAAAGCUCAAAAAGUAGGAAUUAUUCUAUGCAAACUUUUAGUUUCUAAUGGAUGGACGGUGGAUUUCAAUGUUUAAAAUAAAAACUUAAUGAGUGAUGCUAAUGUUUCAUGUUCGUGGACUUUGAUAGGAUCAUCUUUAUGGGACCAAUCCAUUUUAGGACCAAUAUAAUUCACUCGAUGUGCGUCAUCAAGCGAUGAUGAUCUAAAUAUAUAUAUAUAUAUAAUUUAUUAUUUAUUAUAUAUAAUAAUGGAGAUGUCAUUUGAAAUUUCAGAUCUUGAUGUAUGCACUGGGAUAACUAAUCAUAUUCCUUCUGUGAAAGUUUUAGCUGGCUCAAAAGUCUUGGCCUAUGCCUUAUUCUUGAUUAAGAGGACCUUUUGUUAAAUGGUGCCUUGAGUACUUAACGUGGACUCCCAUUCAUAGAAUAGUCCUUUAUCAAACAUUUAAUAUGAGUAAAUCAUCAUAAGAUUCUUACGCACUGUCAAGAAUUUAAAAUGUGGAAUCUAACUUUUAUAAUUCUGAAGUAUGUUAAUUGCGAUAAAAUAAGUCCUAUGGUACUUUCUUUGUUGUAGAGCCAACUUUAU
This 84127-nucleotide long non-coding RNA is filed under the name Eucalyptus grandis. RNAcentral describes it as "long non-coding RNA (EGRA_LNC002599)". Lineage: Eukaryota; Viridiplantae; Streptophyta; Magnoliopsida; Myrtales; Myrtaceae. The record is from RNAcentral.